AAAUAUAUAGUCGCCCAUCUUGAUGGAAACAUCCGGGACACAAUUAUUAGAUGUCAUUUGUUUGCCCGGAGACACAACCUUCAACGGAAUAGGGAUCUUUCCCGUCACAAAUUCAUGCUUGGCAACAAAAGGUCUUGAAAUGAAAGAAAGAGAUGCACCAGUAUCAAAAAGAACUUUUGCAAGAAUAUCGUUAACAGGAAGAUUACCCAUUAUCACAUCAGUAGAUUCCUCCGCUUGAGCUGCAUUCAUCAUGUUCACCUUAGCAGACUUUGGAUUAUGCUUGACCACUGCAUUGCUGGAAGACCUGACAGGAGGAGGAGGAGGAAGACGCCUUUGGUUGAAGCACUUGUUAGCAUAGUGGCCUUUCUGCUGACAUUUGUUGCAAGUCACCUCUGAGAGUGGACGGUGAUAAGGAGCAUUGGACUUUGGAGCUUGAUUCUGAGACUUGUUCUGAUAGCCAGAGUUGGAAGAGUUGGAAGAACCAUGGCCACCUUUGUUCUUCUGCUGAUAAGGCUGACGAAACGGAGGAGGAGGAGGCAACCAGAACUUCUGUUGCUUAGCUGUCACAAGUGAGGAAGAAGAAGACUGAACUGCGUCUCUGACUCUCUUCUUAGAAGCCUCACACUUGAGCUGAGCAGCCUCUUGCUUCAGUGCCAUAUUAUAGAAUUGAUCAAACUGAGUAGGCUCAACAAGAACGAGAGCUAACUGCAGAUCCUCUUUAAGGCCACCUCUGAAGUGAUAGAUCAUGCUCUUUUCAUCAGGAACGUCUUGUUUAGCGAAGCGAGCAAGUUUCUGAAACUGAAUGUUGUAUUUGAUACACAGACAUGUUGCCUUGCUUGAGAUUGCGGAACUCCUCACGCUUGCUCUCAACAACACUUUGUGGAAUGUGGUGCGCUUUGAAGUCCCGACAGAAGUCAGUCCAAGUGAUCACACGACCUCCUCUGGAAUCUUUGUAUUGUUGAAACCAAUCAGCGGCUUGGUCCUUGAGCUGGAAAGAAGCGAACUUGACAAAGUCCUCAGGCCUGACAUUGCUACAUUCAAAAUGCUUGUUGAUGUCCACGAGCCAAUCAUCGGCAUCCGUGGCCUCGGCACAGUAGCUGAAAGACUUGGGCUGAUUUGCGAGAAACUGGUUGAGAGUGGCGAAGUGAAACUGAUUGUUGCCUUGACCUUGAUUGCCUUGAUUGCCUUGCCCUUGAGUACGUUCUUGCAAGAGUUGCAGAAUCAUCUGAGCAUUGGCAUUGGUGGCUGCCAUGAUUGCUUGCCAUGCCUUCGGAGGUGGAGGUGGUGGCGGAGGGUUCGCUUGACUCCCUUCAUUGCGAUCCGGAUUCUGACGCGUUGGCGGAGCCAUCCUGAAGAGGGUGACAUCCGUUAGCAUCUUGAUAGACAAAUAGAUAAGUAGAAUCAACGGAUAGAAAUUGCAACAUAUAGUCUUCACAAUAAACAUUCGAACGAAGAUGAACGAAUGAAUUCCGUAGUAAAUCAUCACACUUUCAUAAGUUGAGAAGCCACUUGAAAAAGAUAUGGAAUGAACAUAUGAAUUCGAAGCAACUCGAAUACCACAAUAUAAAACAAAACAAAGUAUUGGUUUGCAGAAUAAGCCGGAACAAACAUAUGAUAGAUAUUUCGUCCGAAGUUUUCGUGGUGGGGCCCACACGGGCUCAAUCGUACAGCACCAUCAUGUACAAGGCUGUGCACAUGACAUACGAAGCGUCCCCGAGUCGGCAAAGCCAUGGACUCUUUAAGACACUACGAGACCACUAUAAAAUCAACCGUGGAAAGGCGGACCACUAGACGUCGAACCCCAAUCUCAUAUCAUGCGUCUGUCGGAAAGAUAUCCUAAGGCUACUUGAAUUCCCACUUAUAAACUCCCGAAACUUUCUGGUUAUGCAAUCUGGUGUAGGGGAUACAGGGGACACAAAAUAUAUCACCCAAACUAGCAAUCCCUAGAUCCAGCUGUAUCCAUCCGUCAACACAUAACCAAGAAACCUUCGGAAAUCGUUUACCUCAACCUUCGAAAAACAUCCGUUAUACAAGUUAUGGCAAUACUCCCGAACUCCCGCCCCAGUACUGGGUGGCGUCGAGGUGAUCUCACCAACAACUGCAUAAAAGAGAUUUCGAUGUCGGCGAAACUCAGGUAUUCCAGAACUGCAACGAUAAAAUUGUGACGACAACACCUCGGAGCUCAACUCCCCGGGACACUGCCACAACCCCUAAUGUCAGGAGGCACCAAGAACAAUGUUCUCGUCACAAGACCAUCGGAACGAUUCCAAGAUACCCGCGUGAUCCUAAAUUUUUUUUUAGUGAAAUUUGAGGAGAGAAUAGUCAAAACUUCUACGUCAGGAGACCUCACCAGAGCGACGAAGGGACUGAGGAGUAAAAAGAAUCCUACUCUCCAAUAUAUAUAAUCCUAAGACUCAAAACAUUUUUGUUCUAGACUCAACAACGCCAGCGAUUCAAUCAAGCAGGGGGCUCCUAAGUCGGGGAUGGCUCUGAUUACCAACUUGUAACGCCCACGAUGCGGCUAUAUCACCCACGUGUCGAGGCACGACUUAGAGGCAUAACCGCAUAGUGGUUUUGUCGCAAGAAGGGUCAUCUUCACACAAUCCCAUGUAAUGAACAAGAAUGGGAUAAAGAGUUGGCUUACAAUCGCCACUCUCCGAUCGUCCCAACUGGGCUCCACUACUGAUCAUCAGGAAAAGACACAUAGUAACGACCACGUUCCUCGUCGAACUCCCACUUGAGAUCGACGCCAUCAUCUGCACUGGCAUCGUCGGCACCUGCAACUGUUUUGGUAGAAUCUGUGAGUCACAGGGACUCAGCAAUCUCACACCCGCGAGAUCAAGACUAUUUAAGCUUGUAGGAAAGGAUGGCGCAAAGAGGUGGAGCUGCAGCGGCAAAAGCAUAUAUGGUGGCUAACUUGCGCAAAUGAGAGCGAGAAGAGAAGCAACGGAACGGACGUCAUCUAGGAGUGACCAAGAAGUGAUCCUGAACACCUACUUACGUCAUACAUAACUCAGACCGUGUUCACUUCCCGGACUCCGCCGAGAAGAGACCAUCACGGCUACACACGCAGUUGAUGUAUUUUAAUUGGGUCAAGUGACAAGUUAUCUACAACCGGACAUUAACAAAUUCCCAUCUGCCUCAUAACCGCGGGCACGGCUUUCGAAAGAUAAUACCCUGCAGGGGUGUCCCAACUUAGCCCAUCAUAAGCUCUCACGGUCAACGAAGGAUAAACCUUCUCCCGGAAAGACCCGAUCAGUCUCGGAAUCCCGGUUUACAAGACAUUUCGACAAUGGUAAAACAAGACCAGCAAAGCUGCCCGAAUGUGCCGACAAAUCCCGAUAGGAGCUGCACAUAUCUCGUUCUCAGGGCACACCGGAUGAACACUACGUACAGCUAAAACCAAUCCUCGAGUUUCCCCAAGGUGGCGCUGCAAGUGGCUCUAGUUUGGACCAGCACUCAGAGGAACACUGGCCCGGGGGUUUAAAUAAAGAUGACCCUCGGGCUCGCGAAAACCCGGGGGAAAAGGCUUAGGUGGCAAAUGGUAAAACCAAAGUUGGGCCUUGCUGGAGGAGUUUUAUUCAAGGCGAACUGUCAAGGGGGUCCCAUAAAUCACCCAACCGUGUAAGGAACGCAAACUCAAGGAACAUAAACCCGGUAUACAGUAACUAGGGCGGCAAGAGUGGAACAAAACACCUGGCAUAAGGCCGAGCCUCCCACCCUUUACCAAAAUAUAUAGAUGCAUUAAUUAAAUAAGAGAUAUUGUGAUAUCCCAACAUAUCCAUGUUCCGACAUGGAACAAACUUCAACUUCACCUACAACUAGCAAUGCUAUAAGAGGGGCUGAGCAAAAGCGGUAACUUAGCCAAACAACGGUUUGCUAGGAAAGGAUGGUUAAGGGCUGACAUGGCUAAAAUAGGAGACAUGAUAUAGCAAGUGAUAGGUAGCGGAGCAUGGCAAUAGAGCGAACAACUAGCAAAGCAAAGAUAGAAGUGAUUUCGAGGGGUGGUCAUCUUGCCUACAAGGUUCUCAGAGUUGUCGAAAGCUUGAUCCUCGUAAGCGUACUCGACAGGUUCCUUGUUCAUGAACUCGUCUCCCGGAUCUACCCAAGACAAGAACACAAGCAAACGGAACCACAAUCAACAACGAGAAAUGCGCAAGCAACAUGAUGCAAAACAUGUAUGAUAUGCGAGAUAUGAUAUGCGAUGCAUAUGCGUGCUCCGGAAGGAAAAUGCUGAACAUGGCAGUAACUUGGCAAACCAAGCAUGCCACUGGAAAGAUGAGAUGAUUUCGGUCGAAAUCGAUAUAAAGAUCACCGGAAACGGAUGCACGGUUUGCAAAUGGCAAGCAAAACAAGAAUGACACUAAUCUGCGAUAAACAGCAAGAUAGCACUUAAAAUGCAACAAGCAACAAUGCUACAUCACCCCAACAUAGCAACAAAGCACAUGGCAGUAAUCUACAGGAGAUGCUUGACAAAAGAUGAACACUGAGCUACGGCUAGUUCACAACAUAUCAAGCUCAAACAAGCAUGGCAAAAUUGCAAAAGAUUACGGGUUCACAGACUUAGUGAAAAACUGGACAUGGCAGAAAACAGCAUCAGGUAGCAAUGUUCGGAGCACAAAAUCAACAUGCUACAGAAAACUGGACAUGACAAAGCAAGGCACGAUAGUGUCCUACUAAAUGCACAAGACAAAAGUCCCUUACUGACCAUAAGCCAAAAAGGACCAGAAGAUAUUAUGGCAAGCAUGUAAACAUAGCAAGUUUCGUUAUCAGGUUUCAGACUUGGCAGAAAACAGAGCAUGGCAGAAAUAUUAAUAUGUAGGCCUCUUUGUGAGCUUGAUUCACUCACUACAGAGCAAUGCAUGAAAACCAAGCAUACCUACAGCAAGAUGGCAUGUUUAUGAAGCUAUACAUGGCAAGAACAAUAGCAUAGCAUGUAUGGAUCAACUACAAUAAGCUUGGCAAAAUUGCAUCUCAUGUUAAGAAUCUGCCAGAAAUAUUUUAUAGCAAAAGUAGAGCAAGAUUGAAUCAUGCUAUGGCACUCCAUAAUUGCACAAAAUUGCAGGAAUGGAUCAACUACAACUAUAUCUAUAAAACAUCCUUACUGAACAUCUCCAAAAUAUGCAUGUAUCUCUCUGUAGCAUCGAGUUUACAUGGCAACAAAAUUACAGCAGACGAGGACUUGGAGAAAUUACGAAGUCCCUGAAAUCAGAAAUAUUACGGGGCCUACUUUGCAUGCUUGUGCUAGUCACCACAGAGAUCACAAAAAUACAUGGACUACACCACUGGAAAGAUGGCAUGGCAUACUUCAAAACACAUGUAGAGCUCAUGCUCAUAAGAUGCACAGAAUUAAUGAUACAAAAAUGACAAAUCUCCAAGUUCUGAUAAGAACCAGAGAAUAACAGCAACUAGCCCUCUUCCAACAGAGAUUUGGGCAUCAAGAUGACCUCUAAUGAACAUCGUGCAAUUUAAUAAAAUGAAGAGCAUCACGAGUCGAACAAUUUGACAUAUUACACGGAUGAAUCGGAGCUAUAUGCACGGAGUUAUAGCAAUACGAACAGGGGCACAUGCUAAGAAAAUCUGAGGACAGGAAAAAAAAGGGCGAGGAGAAAGUCAACGCUCACGAGAGGCUACCAGAUCGGAUCGAGGGAGAGGCCGGCUCGGGCGAUGGCGCUCGCCGGCGGGAGGAAGAGGAGGCGGCGAGGUCGAUGGGGCCGACGCCGGAGGAGGAGAGGGAGGCCGGAGGUGGCGGUCGCCGGCGGGCGCGGCGGGCACCGGAGGGAGCGGGCACCGGCGNNNNNNNNNNNNNNNNNNNNNNNNNNNNNNNNNNNNNNNNNNNNNNNNNNNNNNNNNNNNNNNNNNNNNNNNNNNNNNNNNNNNNNNNNNNNNNNNNNNNNNNNNNNNNNNNNNNNNNNNNNNNNNNNNNNNNNNNNNNNNNNNNNNNNNNNNNNNNNNNNNNNNNNNNNNNNNNNNNNNNNNNNNNNNNNNNNNNNNNNNNNNNNNNNNNNNNNNNNNNNNNNNNNNNNNNNNNNNNNNNNNNNNNNNNNNNNNNNNNNNNNNNNNNNNNNNNNNNNNNNNNNNNNNNNNNNNNNNNNNNNNNNNNNNNNNNNNNNNNNNNNNNNNNNNNNNNNNNNNNNNNNNNNNNNNNNNNNNNNNNNNNNNNNNNNNNNNNNNNNNNNNNNNNNNNNNNNNNNNNNNNNNNNNNNNNNNNNNNNNNCGAAGGGGCGGUGACACGUGGCGGCGGCGCAGGGGGCGGACGUGUCCGUCGGCAGACGUUUUCGUCCGGCGGCGCGCGGUGGAGAAACUAGGGUUUCGUCUGCGAUUUCGUUUUUCGGGAUGCCCACAUAUUUAUAGGUAGAGGGAGCUAGGAGGCUCCAAAUGAGGUGCGGUUUUCGCCCACACGAUCGUGAUCGAACGACCUAGAGCAUGGAAGAGAGUUUGGUGGGUUUUGGACUGGUUUUAGAGGGGGUUUUUGCUGGACACUCAAAUGGACUUUACGGAUUCCCGGUUAACCGUUGGAGUACCAAACGACCUCCAAAUGGAACGAAACUUGACCGGUGGACUCCGGGUGGUAUACUAGGGCCACUUGACAAGCCUCGGUCCAUUCCGAGAAAGUUUGACACCCGCACACGAAAUAAAACUAGAGGGGUGCACCGGAGGAGAUAGGAGCGCCGGAUUGCAAAACGGAUAACGGGGAAAAUGCUCGGAUGCAUGAGACGAACAUGUAUGCAAAUGCAAUGCACAUGAUGACACGAUAUGAAAAUGCAUGACAUGACAAAAUACAAAACGAAAGACAAAACCCGACAACGGAGGGAAAAUCAUAACACAUAGCCGAAAAUGGCAAGAGUCGGAGUUACAAAUAUGGCAAGUUACAUCCGGGGUGUUACAAACAGUAUGUGCUUCCAUCUACUUAUAAACGGGGUGAUGUAGAGUUUGUUGUAACAAAGCAACAAGCAUCAUGUCUGGGUUGGUCCCAUUUUUGUUCACUACUUAAUGGGAAUAGACAGCAAUACAAUAGCUUCAAUUCAACAUUUAUUUAAAACAGUACCAAUACAAGUAGCACAACAUCUCAAAGCACACUGCACAAUCAUGUGGAUGAAGGCCUGUACUGACCUUUCAUGAGACGGACAAGAUAAAAUACGAAUGUGCCAACACGAAUAGGAAAUCCAAUCUCGUUUUGUGCAGUUGCACUGAAAUCAAGCAAAGUGUUUCGCGUAGCGAAGCAAAAUGUCACAAUAGCAACAAGUUGAAUAGAUAUCCCUGUUUAAACAGAGGCAAAAAGGAAUCAAUUACUGGCUAAUAAAGGAGGAUGAAACAUGCGGCCACAAAAAUGGUAAUCCCGCCAAUCCCUAACAAGUGUUGCAGUUUUGAAAUAAGAUUCAGUAGUUAAUUCUGAGAGUGGCAUCAAUUACUGGCUUAUAAAGGGGGUGAUGCUGAAUUUUUUGUAACAAAGCAACAAGCAUCAUGUCUGGGUUGGUCCCAUUUUUGUUCACUACUUAAUGGGAAAAGACAGCAAUACAAUAGCUUCAAUUCAACAUUUAUUUAAAACAGUACCAAAACAAGUAGCACAACAUCUCAAAGCACACUGCACAUCAUGUGGUUGAGACCAAGAUUUGAAACAACUCGCCAUGAAGAAUGGAAACAAAUCUUGAUCUCCUUUUGUGCAGUUCCACCAAAAUUAAGCAAAGUCACCGGUGUGACAUUCAAGUUGAACUGCACAAAACACUCUUAAAACAUAAGUGUUUCGAGUAGCGAAGCAAAAUGUCGCAAUAGCAACAAGUUGAAUCGAUAGCCCUGUUUUAAUAGAGGCAAAAAAGGAAACAAUUACUUGCCGAUAAAAGAGGAUGAAACAAACGGUGACAGAAAGAAGCAUCUAACUUAUCUUGGAUGGAAAACAAAGUAGAACAGUAGCAUUUUUAAAACGGUUGCAUUGAUUCAUAUUAAUAGAGACAUUCUCUUGAAACAACAUUCGUUAAAAAAUGUAAUUUACUUUUAACAGUGGCAUUGCUUCAACUUUCCGGCGGCAUUCUUAGAUUAACAACAGCAAAAUAGUUGUAUGGGACAUGCCAGCACCAUGUGCGUCCACACGUAUAAAUGGGUGAUGCAGAGUAUGUAGCCAAGCAGCAUAUAUGCGCUGGUCCCAUAUUUGUUCUCUUUGAACCUUCUUCCUAUGUGAGGGCACAAAUCUAGUCCUGCACAAACUACCCGACCCCCCAGUUUCUUUCCCUUUUCAACAAAGAGAUCGGUUCCUUACAGAUGUGUGUACUGGGUUACCCCUUUUUCCCUUUUCGACCUACAAAGCGGCUGGAUAGCUAGUCUAUACUACUUUCCGCCCCUCCUUUCCUCAUUGAACCACGUCCUAGAUUCUUGCUCCAGCCCACCGCACCCUUCUUUCCUCUUUGAACCAAGACCUAGAUUCGACUACAGAUCGAAAAAGAUCCACAUGCAGCUAGAGCAAUGACGGUUUCAAAGAAACUUAUACCUUAGGGUCGUCGUGAUGUGGCAAGGUGUGCGGCGGGAGGCCGGAUCUGCCCACACUACGUACAGCAGCGAGGAAGAAGGGGUCGGUGGCCCUCCCGCACAGGCGCUGGGUGAAAGAGAACAGCGCAGCCGGCAGUGGAUUGCCUCCCUCGCCGAAGGCGAUAGAGUGAACAUUGCACUUCCUCCCCUUCCCGGUGCGACGAGAUACGGACGCCUCCUUCACCAGCUGUGAGGGGGGAGAGAGAGACAAGAGGCCAACGCAGUCUUGUUUAGAUCUGGUGAAAGAGGGUGCGAGACUGUGAAUAUAGAAAACCCUAGCAAAUGAACGCUGAGCCUCCAGCGUGUAACAUAUAUGUAGUGCGGCGAGCGUGUGGAGAGUGCAAACCCUAGCGAACAAGCGCUGAGGCUCCCGCUUAUAUAUAUAUACUACUGUACUAUGGACUGAGCUCCGGUGCCUUCACUGCACCUGCUUUUGGCUGUAUGACAGGUGAGCCAGCCACAUUUUGGGCCCACCUGUCAUAAAUACAAAGGCAGGUGCACUAAGUCAAUGAAGCUGCGUCCAUAUAGUACUCUCGUGUAUACGACUAAUAUAUAGUGGAGUGGUUUUCUUAUUCUCUCCAUAACAAUCGUUUUAAAUUGUGUAAGUACGAAACGAAACUCUUUAUUUAAUGUACAGUGAAGAAAACUAGUACUACUUCCGAUGAACUAACGAUCCACGCCCACGCGUCCUGGUCGCACUUCCUGUCCUUCACGUGUGGUACACUACCCUCCCUUAAGUGAACAACCACACAUGCGCCAAAUUAUCGGAAACGUGUGAGAGUGUGUACAAAUAAAGAAUUUUAAUUUCAAUUAUCGGAAAGGUUUGAGAGUAUUACAAAGUUUGACUUCAGUCAAAUCUAAUAUGCGGAGUAAAUAAAAAUGGAGGGCUACUACGUCCAUCCGGGUUUUUAGUCCACACCAUUUUUUAAAUCAAAGUUAAUAGCUGGACAAAUAAAAUUACAGGGGAGCUGGAGACAAAGAUGUGAGAAGGCUUAGAAAUCAAUACAAAACUUAUGCUCUUAGUACCAACGUCGAUCCUUCUUCGAGGAAACAUUUGGUUCAUAGCCAAUUGUGUGAUAAAAUUGCACCAACGUGAAAGACGAUUGCGUCUCCAACGCAACCAAGGUGAACUGACGAAGGAUAUCAUCUUUGUGCGUAACAAGCAAAGAGCACUGAUGGAAGACAUCUUGUUUUUCAUUGAAAAUCGACCAGCUUCACCAGCCGACGCAACAAGAGGCUAUAAUGGAGUAAAAAAAAUCUCUCCAUAGCAGUGGUUUUAAAUAGAAUACGCGCGUUCCCGGAAAAAAGAAACGAAAACUGGCGGACAAUUUUUUAAGGGUCUGUCUAGGACACAUCUAGAUGUGACAUAGUUAUGUCACAUCUAAGUUGAUGUCCACUCUGUUUGUGGUCUAUUUUUUUCCUAGUUUUUUUUGUUUCUUGUUGCUACAUUAUAUACUUGUGGGAGCUUAGAUGUGAUACCCUUAAAUAACAUCUAGAUGUGAAUUAGACAAACUGAUUUUCUAACGUACCAAGAAAGAAAACUCGAUCAAAAACACGCCCCCGCUUCCAGGUCGCGAGAGUCGUCGCGCACACACACAUAGACAUAGACAUGCAUAUCCGUGUUUACGUAAAAUUCCAUUUCCAUCUCCAAUCAUAUUUGUCCAACUGGCACAUUAUUUACGUUGUUAAUUAUAUACGCGACGUACAUCAUCUCUUGUUUGCGCACGUCCGGACCGCUGCCACGGCCGGUCCUGACCAACCCGAACCCUCUUCAUCACCCGCGCGUGCUUCCCGCCCGAAACGGUCAGUGCCGCAUUCAUGCCCAGCCAGAGCGGACGCGACCUCUCACUGGCGCCGGCAUUGAAGCGGCGCGCCGGCCGAGAGAGCGUCGCCCGCGCGCUUCCGGGUGCACGCGGCUGCUCCGCGUUCAAAGGUCGCAAUAGCCGGCUACAACAUGCAUGUAAAAAGUUCUUGGGAGUCCGUGCUACAGCUAGCUGUCCUCCCCCAACUUGUUAAUCUCUUCCAGUAGUGCUAGUACUCCAUGGCGCGAUCCAUCGACAAGCAGGCGGGAAAGUUAUCGUAUACUCGGUUUGCGGUGCGUGGCAUGCCGAGCGACCGUGUGGGGUCGAGCCGUGAGGAGGGUGAGACACGAACACGACAUACGUGAUUUAAACGUUGGUUUUGCUCGAUGGCGCGAUCCAACAAAAUGAAAUGUUGGUUUCUCUCCGUUUCCAUUUUUCUCCGGAAAAACGGAAACUUUCCACUCCAUUUUCAUUCCUAUUCCAGGGUUGCCCCGUUACAACAUUCCAUCAAAUACAAAGGAAAACUAACACGCAUGCUGAUGCAUCUCAAUGAUUCACAGAUCAUAGCCAAUAUUUACUUCACAACUAAAGAAAAACGUUGUGAGAGCGUGUACGAAAGAAAAACUACUGAUGGGGUCACUACGACUUAAACCCUAAACCCUAAACAUGAUUUAAUUUCCUGGCCAGGUAGAACCUAUCGAAGGAAAGACGGCUGGCACCCUCGGAUCAUACGAUGCUUUUGUGCAGUUCCACUAAAAUUGACCUGAGCAUCCCUGAUGGCAAAGAUAUUGAAGAAGUGUGAUUAGAAUAAUAGUACUGGCACUAGUUCAUGAGACAUAAACUCAUCACAAGUAGAAACCGGUAGUAGUAGAGAAAGAUCGACAUGGAGAUGGAGCUACGGCAGUGGAGCAAGCCGGCUCCAAAAGGAAGAUGGACUACCUGGGACGUCGGGCUGUAGCUAGAAGGGCGGUUGGGACGCGACAUCGGCCCAUACCGCGGUGACCCCCGAUUGGGAUGCACCGACUGUGGAUUUUCUCCCUCGCCGAAGUCGACCGCGUCUACGCAGAACAUUGUUCCCUUCCCCCAGCUGCGGGAUCAGGCCCGUCGUUCUAUGCUUGUGAAGAGAGCAACCUAAGCAAGCAGGCUUGUAGCUUAGGCUCCUGCUAGUGUAUAUAUAGUGGUUUUCUUUUUCUCUCCAUAUCAACCAUUUUAUAUUGCGUACGUGUCAUUCAAGAGUGAAAUGAUGGUUGCUUCUUCCGACUAACUUACUGUGUGAUUUGAUUGCUCCUUAGUGGCCCCUACACGUACUCCCCCUACGUGUAUGCAACAGUCACACGUACACAUGGACGCAAAAACGCGCGCGACACCCUAAUGCAUGCAUGUCCGAGCACACGACGGAACACACACGGCCACGCUCAAGUGCUCAACCUACACGUGCAUGCACACACAUACUCAGUCAGGGUGAGCUAGUGACCGUAUAAACACCGGAAUAUAUAUAUAUUGAGCGCAAUGAGCGUAUUAUGAAGUCCACUGACCAUAUUUUUACAAAUAUACAGUGACAGACAGUGUAUUUAUCUCGUUUGAAAUUAAGGCAUAUUAACCGGAGAGGAGGCAGUAUGGACUAGCAUUACUUUGUUGUGUCCCGUCAACUUACCGAACGAGGAGAAGGUUGCAGGACGGGAGAAGCUUGCGCGCGGUGGCUCGCAGGACAAAAGAAACUUUUGACUAAUGCAAGCUCUCCCUCGCUCAGGCGGUGGACGUGCAACAGUUAAUUCGGUGUCAGAUUGCCAGAAGCAUACACUAUACUACUAGUGCUAUUAUUGUUCGACUUCCCGAAUAGGCGAACAGCCAAGCGCAAAUUUUACUAGUACUACUACUAUCGUCUAUAAAGGUACGUACUAUACUAGUUCUAGGAACCGGACGGAGGAGCGUCUACACUCUUAUUAUAAUUUUAAAAUGUGAUAAAACAAUCUUCAACAUAUUUGGUUCUCUUCGAGGGUUCUCGCAUGUGAUAAUGGAAGUUGAUUGCAUGGAACACUCGCCAUAAUUCUCGCUUAAUUCUGGCUCAUAUCCUGUUACAAAUAGUAGCGCUCAGUAAUAUUUCCUCUUUUUUUGUUAUUCAGCAUGUAAACAGGUUAGCAAACCUUGCGGCGCAUCUUCGUGCGAACCGUGCUUGCUGCACUUUGAAUGUGGCCGAGAGCUGGCUUGAUGAAACACCUCGCUUCCUACUUCUUUUUUUGCGGGGUACCUCGCUUCCUAGUGACCAGUGUCUUGGCUGAUCGUCCUAAGAAUGCUUAUAUAUGAAUAAAGCUCUCUCAUUUACCCGCAAAAAAGAUUAAGCCAUAUUACCCAGAAAGGAGGGAGUAUGGACUAGCACUACUUUUUGGUGUGUCCCGUCAACUCGCAGAAUGAGGAGAAGCUUGCAGGACAAGGUGAAGCUCGCUUACGCCUUUUGAUUAAUGCAACCUACCCUCGGUGGACAUGCAUCAGUCCAUUCGGUGUCAGAUUGUCAGAGGCAUACACUGUAGUACCGAACAUGCGGAGUACCUUCAUUGUUCGACUUCACGAAGAGGCGAAGAGCCAAGCGCGGUAGUACGAGUAGUACUACUACUAGAACCGCAUGGUGGAGCUUCUGUACUCUUAUUUUUUUAUCUCUGAUAAAGUACACGUUUAUUCCGGAGAAGGGCGGAAAACGGCAGCCCAACAUGUAAUGAAUGAUAUCGAUCAACCAACCUUGCUCGAAUAUAUCUUGGCCUCCGUGCGAGCCCGUCUGUGUGUUCUCGCUCCUCGUCUCUCUCAAGGAAUGGCGGGUUGGCUCUUUGCCAUCAAUUGAGAUCGGUUUGCUCACACUCCUGUCCCACAUGUGAGUGAUAUGCCAAGAGGAGGUGCGUUGACCGACUGGCCAUACGCGUACUUGGUUUUGCACCUUCAUACUACUCCUCCCUCCGUCACAGUUUACAGGGCGCGCUUCAUUAUGAUGCAUUUCUCUCAGGCCCCUCCCGAUGCUCCACCUUGUACAGGUGCUAAGCCUUCCACGUAUGCAAAAAAUCUGAUGUGGCAAGUUAUUUAAGAGGAGAGAUAUGAGUUUGGUUACCCCAGAAAGAAACAAUGCUAAGCGCGUGGACCUAGGCAAAACAUUUAAAGAAAGGAAGCCCACCAAUACAUGAAGAGCUUUAGUUGCUAAAUCAUUAAAUGAAGCAAGCUUAGCAACCAUAAGCUAAGCACCUAUGCAUUGGGGAGUAUAGUUGCUAAGCUAUUUAGUGGUUGUUUGGCUAACAAAGAUUAUCCAUGGGAUUAUAGAGAAUGUGUUUUUAGCUGAUGUUUAGCAAAACCGGUUUUAGAAAUUAUUUUAUGUAAAACCAGUUUAUAGAAAAAUAUGUUUGGCUUACUCCUGAGUCCUGACUCCUCCCGUGACCUUCCCUCGAUAAAAUACUCUUGCCGUGACCUCCUCUUUUUGUCUUGCCAUUGGAGACGGUCCGCAAGCUCCAACAUCCAUUCCUCCUCUGUUUUCGGUCCUGAAUCCCUCGACGCCAUUACUCGCCUUCCCUUGGACCGACCCUGGACGACUCCACGCACAACUACUAGUACGUGCUUACGACCAUCGCCGGCGUCGGGUACUCGCCUGAAGUAAUCCAAGUCUCGGUGUUCUAUGUCCCAUGUACCCCAUACAUGUCAAGAGACUCGAGGGAGGCGCGGUCAUCCUUGUCCAGCAUGAGCUCGCGCGCGCCCUUGCUGACCUUGCGUUUCAGGAGCUCGCCGAGGGUGGCGUCGCCGUUGGGGCGCUCCUGGCCGCCAUCCCGUAUGUGAUCUCUGUACACCGACCAGCCAGUGACAUGCCACAGGUGACGCACAUCACCGAUGGCGUCGACACAUCAUCCUAGAUCCAGCCAACAGCUAGCGGAAUCCUGGGCGCAAACGCAGCGACGACCAUAUCGUGGCCGGAGGACUAGUACGACUGCGCGAGGAGCAUCCCUACCAGACAACGGCGUGUCGAUGCGUUCAUGGCCAUAGCCGUGGCAGGACGGCGAACGAGAGGAGUAUCAUACCAGGCAGCGGAGAUGUGACACGGCGGCGGCCAUGCCAUGCCAAGCUGGAGGACGCACGCGAGGACACCGAUUAGUUGCGAUUAAACGCAGAUUUUGAGGUUUCCAAAAACCAAGUCUUCCAAAAACGCAAAUUAGUUAGAGCAUCCAAACGAGAUUUUAUUCUGUUAGGCUCUGUUCCUGGUUUAUAGAGAAUUGGUUUUCUACGUUCCACCUAUCCAAACAACACCUUAAUGUGCUUAGUAUCUCAUCUAAGCAACCAUGCAUUGGGAGCAGCCUCAAUGCAUUUCCACCACCAGAGAGACUUUAGACGCGUUUGGUUUAAUGCUCAAUUAAUUAGGUCGUGGUAACCGCAAUCAAGUCCACAAUUUUCUCUCCAUGUACUGUACUACUACGGAGUGGAGUAAGUGCAUGCAUGUGUGUACCCGGGGUGGAAGCACUGCAUGCAUGUGUGUACGCAUUAUUCCCUCUAGUAAUAGACGCUGUGCUAUAACUAUCAAUGCUAUUUUUCAGGCCGAUCGCUAGUCGUCUUGGUCCCACAGAUUUUUUUUUUCUUUUUUCUGAAGCGCGCUGUAUAAACAGUGACGGAUGGAGUAGUAUGAGCGGAUUCAAAGAAGAGCAUAUUGAUGGUUGCUUCUUCAGAGCAACUUACAGUGGGAAAGGUGGGGCUUAUGAUUUGACUUCUCAUUACUCACUAUUAAUGCGGCGCAACGACCGGGCUGAGUCUCCCAUGCGGUUGUGCACUACCCCCUCGGUUCUUAAAUAUACUCCGGAGUAUUUGUCUUUCUAGAGAUUGCAAUGAGUGACAACUCAAAUAUUUGUCUUUUCAGAGAUUUCAAAUGGACUGGCACAUACGGAUGUAUAUAGACAUAUUUUAGAGUGUAGAUUCACUCAUUUUGCUCCGUAUGUAGUCACUUGUUGAAAUCUCUAGAAAGACGAAUAGAAUAUUUAGGAACGGAGGGAGUACACAUACGAAGCAAAAUGAGUGAAUCUACACUCUAAAAUAUGCCCGUUUGAAAUUUGUAAAAAGACAAAUAUUUAGGAAAGAAGGAGUAUAAUUUUGUGCAUGGCACAUGGACCCGGAUGAUGAAGAGGCUUCUGGCAAUGCUAUCAAGCUUCCAUCAUUUGUUUACAUAAUUGACGUACUAUACAAAUAAUUUUCCAGUGACAUGAAAUUGUACAAUGGUGUGAGCUUUCAGCUUUUGUUUCGCGUGUCUUGCCAUCGAUGCUCUUUCGGAAACAAUAAAAAACUAACUUCCUUGCUAAUGCAUGUCAAUUAUUAGCAGAUCAGAGCUAAUAAUUACAUCUCAACUGAAGACAGAGUUGUGAGAAGGUGUUAAAUUAAAAUUGAUCCAUGCUUUCAUUGGCAGCAACGUCCCCCCAGCUCUGUCUAAAUCAACAAGGCAUGUUGGGAAAAAAAGUAGCUGUCUAGAGCAUGCAACAUUCCGAUCAUUUUGUGCAGUUCCACUAAAAUAGAGCUGAGCGUCCCUGUUCCAAAUCGGGACGUGCUGCCUCGGCGCCGUCAAACGGAGAAAUGAUGCACUUCAUCCCUUUCCCCCGGCGGACGGGAUGCAGCCGGAUCAGUGACCAACGGUGAGAGAGAGAGAGGCCACCACACUCCCUUUCCCCUGGCGGACGGGAUGCGGCCGGAUCAGUGACCAACGGUGAGAGAGAGAGAGGCCACCACAACCUUGUGUGAGAUACUCUGAAGAGCGACAAACCAGGCAGGCAGGCUCCAUUGUAUAUAGUGAGCGGACUACCUUUUUCUCCAUAAAAAUCGUUUUAUAUUCUGUGUACGUGCCAUUGAGCGCUAUAACUUUAUUUAAAAAUAACGCGGCAACGCAUCAAGUCGAACUUUGUUUCAUGCACGCGUGGUACACGACCUCCCUAGGUAAACAACCGCUACAGGCGUUCAAAUUAUCACGUGGGCUGCCAUUUCGUAAAGAAAUGAGCUCCACCGUGUACCCGCGCGGGUGUGGCUGGGCACGAAGCGUGAGUACGUGCAUGGUGCACCUAUUCUCUUCUUGUAUAUGUACACCACCUACGUGGGGUUGUGUGAGAGAGAUACAAACCUAGAGAGAUAUAGUGUGUGGGUUCUNNNNNNNNNNNNNNNNNNNNNNNNNNNNNNNNNNNNNNNNNNNNNNNNNNNNNNNNNNNNNNNNNNNNNNNNNNNNNNNNNNNNNNNNNNNNNNNNNNNNNNNNNNNNNNNNNNNNNNNNNNNNNNNGCGCGCGCGAUCGAUAAAGAGUGCCAUCGAAUUUGUGUGUGCCCACGUCAAAGAUAUAGAGUGGCUGGCCUACUGGAACGUGAGAUGGGACAUGUGCAGUUUGUCUCUGUGGCAUGGAUACCUACCUGCAGCGCUCGACUAUCGGUGUGUGGUGGGGGAAGAGGGAGGCCCAAUUAACUAUAGAGGUACAAUGGCUGGUAUAUGUGUGGAGGAGGAGAGAGGCCUACCUCAUGUAUUAAGGAGAUCGAUUUGCCUCAUGUAUUAAGGGAGAUCGAUCGGCAUCCAUGCAUAUGUGCAGGAGAGGAAUAAGGUUGGGAGAGAGACAGAGCUAGAGUGUUGGAGGGGGUGGUAGUGGAGUUGCUUCUAACAAAUGGUGGGAUAGGCUUGCUAGACAAACGGAGGGCACGCCCGCAAUAUCAAUAAGAGAGGAGAUGGCUGCUUGUUGUCUGUGCACGUGCGUGUGAGAGACGGGUCAGGAGGCAUGCACGAAUAAUGAGGGGGGACGAUGUGGCUAUGGUAAGCAGACGUAACUACAUAGGAAGAUCAAUCGCCCUUUGUUAGAGAAAGGGGAGACAUAACUUGUGAGGUACGUCGAUCGAUGGGGGGGUAGUUAAAGUCGAUCUAGGUAUAUGUUGGGAGAUCGAUCGGUAUACAUGCAUGUGUGUGUUAGAAGCAAAUGAGGCACGAGGAGAAGGAUAGAGAAAGAGGGAUGCAUGUAGGAGGUGGUACGAGAGGCAUACUAUAUCGAGGGGGAGGAGUGUGCGAGUACGAGAACGAUGAAAAGAGUGGUGGGAGUGAGGCAUGGACGGUGACAAGGGAAGAGGGGAAGCUUGUGUUUGUGCUAGGCACACCUGGCUAGAGAGGCAUAUCGAUCGAUGUGUGCCGUAAAGAAGGAGCUGGGGGGCCUACACACACCGUGGGUGAAAGACCUAAAGUGAAAAGACGAAUUUGCGUGAUGGAGCUAGAGAAUGCUGAGGGAGGGUGAGAGGGAUGCGGGCGUGUGCAUGCACAAGAGAAAGUUAGCGCUAGCUACAAAGAUAAGAGGGUUGUGUGGGUGUAAAAGACGAAUAGAGAUCAUAUAUACUUCACUAUAAAAAGUGAAUUCGGAUAUUUGAAGAAUUUAUCAUAGUGUUUCAAAUCGACGCAUGUGUGAAUAUAUAUAACGGUGAUACACAUGGUGUGGUUAUGAACAUGUUAUACUACAUUUAAUAUAUUUUAUCUCUACUCUUAUGAAAAAACGGAGUUGUUGAUGAUGGUGUGCCUGCCAUCCUGCAUUAUAGGCCGUCUGAUUUAUAUCUGGCGGAUAGCAAGGAAACUAUGAUGGUUGAAGUUGGCAACAAUCAUGAUUGUAGAUUCUUAUUGAAAUAGAGAAACGAAUUCAAAUUUACUUCGAAUUGCAGCGGUAGUAUAGACAUUUGGAAUGCACUAAAAUGUUGGUAUGAGUAGGUUACAUGCAUUAUACAGCAAGCGAAAAAAAUUAAUCAAACAUAACAUGGAUUCAUACUCCCUCCUUCCAUCUAUAUAGGGCGUAAUGAGAUUUUUAAGACCGCCUUUGACUAUUGACAAGAUUAAUAGUACAUGACAUGCACAAUGUGAAAAUUAUAUCAUUGAAAGAACCUUUCACAGACGAAUUUAACGGUGUGCUUUGUGUAAGUUGCAUGUCAUAUAUCAUUUCUCUAAUAUUUGGUCAAAAUUAGCAUCGAAAAACGCAUUAGGCCCUAUAUAGAUGGAAGGAGGGAGUAGCUUUGAAUAGCAUUUGUAUAGUAAAACGGGGCAAGACUCUCUCUUUGUGUGGUGUGAAUAGUUUUCUCUUUGGUUGAGGGAAGUGCGAAUUGAUUUGGUAUGUACAAGUACAAUAUUACUACACGUUAGGCUUGUCCCUAAAAUUCAACCCGCAUCUUGUUAUAUCCCGAAAAUUCAGAUAUCGUGCUCCCAAAACUGGCGCCUUCACAACCCGCGCCUUGCUAUCCCGAAAUUACAACGCGCGCCAAAACUCCCUCUAGCUGCCAAAUCCCGACACGCGAAAUCCCCCUUCUAACCCUGAGCCCAAAGGGCCGCUAGUUCAAAUCGAUGGGGGGUACUUUUGUAACACACCCUACAUUUUGGACAAGCGCGUCCCUAAGUCAUGCUUCACCCCCUCCCAUCGCCCCCUUUUCGCCAUUCGAAAUCCCAGGCCGCCAUAACCUCUCCGCUCCAGCUGCGAAACCCCACCCUCCUCCGUCCGCCACGUCACCUCUGCCCAGCCGGAGCCUCUUCCCCGACGACAUCGUCCACCGCAACAGCUCGACGUCCCUCGUCCACCUCCCCGAAUGAGGAUCCGUCGUCCAUCUCGCCGUCCCGCCGGUUCAGCCGCCCUGUCCUCCACCUCCAAGGAGCUGCUCCGACGAUCGCCUUGUCUAUCGCGGCUGCUCCAUCCCCACAGCGCCGCCUUAACCUGCUCCACCGGAACCGCAGCAUCCUCACUGACUCCUCGGACGAAGCCGAGGCCUACUCGGCGCCACCAAAGAGGUUGUACACUCAUCACAUCGCACCUUCUCCUUAACUCGACCUCCCGGCGCCGACGGUGCUCCAUCCCGCACCCCAUGGAGCGGCUACCUUGAAGCCGGUGCCGCGGGCGACAUCUCCACGGCGGCUCUCCCCCAGUGCGAGGCCCCUUCGGCGGCGGCGUCCAUACCAGCCGGAUCUGCUGCUGCUGCUCUGGCUCUCACUCGCUCGCUCGCGCUGCUGCAGUUGCUCCGGCUCUCACUCGAUCGCUCGCUCGCCCAGUUGUUGCUACUGCUCUCCCCCUUGCCCAUGCUGCUGCUCUGCUCCGAUUAAGCCACACUUCAGUCGACUGAAUCAACUUUUGGGUUAGUCGAUUUUCAGGGGUUGGGGGGCUCGUCGGAGUUAAGGAAGAACCACCCGCAGUGGGGACGGGGGCUCGCCGGAGAGGUACCGCACUAUCUAUCUUAGGGUUCAGGGUGGGGGCGGGGGGCCUAGAGGGCUGGCCGGGGCGAGUUGUUUCGGGGCGGCGAGGCGGCGCUGGGGCUGGCGGUUCGGCCGGUGGUGGCUGGCGGCUCAGGGGGGUACAGGUUGAAGAUGAACUGCAGGCCCUCCCUAAACUACAUGUCAAGUGCCUCUCUGCUACCAUUGCGUUCAGUUUCGACAGUAGCAUUCAGAUUCCACAGUAAGUUUCAGUUUUGACAGUUAAGUUCAGAGUCAACAGUUUUUACCUCAUCUGUUGUAGUCAGGUGGUUUUUGGUGAUGUUAAUUUUACAUCCAUUUUACAUCAUCUAUUGGAGAUGCUAUUAGAAUCCCACUUGAGAUUGACGAUGUCUGUCUUGUGCUGCUUCAGCCUUGACGUCAUACGGCUCACCGGAGCUGCUCCAACGACAGAAUGAUCCAUCACAACAGAGCAGUGCCCUGGACGCCGUCUACAGAUUCCUCAGAUCUUCCUCCACACCUCCGACAGCCACCUCUGCCUCAACUGCUUCAGCGACCAACCCAAUGAUGCUGAGGUCGACACGGCUACGACAAAGAGGUUGUACACUUGUUGCAUCACUUAUUACUAUACAUUCACGUCGAUCCAUUCGGGCUAUUUUGGUUCAACAAAAAAACGUCGAUCUUCCACUGGUUGUUACCAUCGCUCUAAAUUUCUGCAUGCUCUCCUUACAUAAUCUCACCAUAUUUUUUUCGUAUGCAUGUCAGAUAUUGUACACAGUCAUGCUGAACAUGUAGAGAAAAAGAGAAGAGUUUUGCACGGCAAUACAAUGUCAUGCAGACAUCGCUCCAUAGUGGGUUCAAUGGCAAACCCUCCCCACCCCUCUCCAGAUUGUAAUCCAGAGGAAUAUAUCUGUUCUGAGGCGGAUUCAGACGCCGCUGACCACUCCUAUUUACCCCCCAAGGUGUUUGCUCUACCUUGGCAUGAUGAUGUUAGUCAUAUCAUGCAUAUGUUGCCUUGCAGUGCCUACUUUUGACAUCAUAUAUGUCAUCUGCUUAGGUUUAGACAUGUUCUGUAAUGCCACCUGUUUAGUUUCUAUAUCAUAUAUGGGAAUUAUGCAAUCUCAUGUCUUUUAGCCAGCCAUAAUAUAUGUGAAAUGUGCAAUGCCAUCCUGUUUAACCAGGCAUCAUAUAUUUGAAUGAUAUCUUGCCCAUCCUUUUCUUCAUUACAUUUCCAUUUGUCGACCAUGUUUGUACAUUAAACUACUCUUUCUGUGAAUCAGCCAUUUGGGUGGGAGAUGGAAAAAUCUGGAGUGAAAACAAGGCCUUCAGAGCAGACAGUGCUACCUGUCGAAGCAGAUCUCUUGUUGGGUCCCGAUAGCUCCUCAGAGAUGGAGAGACAGAUGACCAGUCCUAUUCCCCAACUGAGGUGUAUGCUCUAACUUGGCAUGGUUAUACUGCUCAUAUCAUGCAUACGGUGUCUUGCAUUGCAUAGUUUAGACAUCAUAUACACAAUAUUCAACACCAUGUUCUUAGUUCAGACAUCACAUCGAAUGCCCUCUGUUUAGCAUAUAUAUCACAUAUGUAAAUUAAAUGAUGCGAUCCUGAUUACUUAGAUAACAUGUAGGUGAAUUAUGUCAUGCGAUCCUAUUUAGUUAUUCAUCAUAUCUUUGAAUUAUGUUAUGCUAUGCUAUCCAGUUUAGAUAGACAUCAUAUAUGUGAAAUUAUGUCAUGCUAUCCGUUUUAGUUAAACAAUAUACAUGUCAACUAUUUCAUGCCCUCUUUUUUCCACACUAUCUAUUGCAUCUGUCUCUCAUACAAUGUCUGUACAUUCAACUAUGUUUCCUGUUUAUCAGCCAUUUGAAUUGGAGCGGGUGAUGCCAGUAUCUAGCGGACUUAAAACACGGUCUUCAAAUAAUACAUAAUACAGUGCUACCUCUUGGUGGAGAUAGCACCCCGGUUGUACAUGCACAAGAACCAGCCCUACCACACAUAACCCAAACUCUCGCAGAUUGUACCCCUACUACGAUGGACAGAGAACCAGCUUCACCCAAUCUAACCCCAACCCCAGCCGAUAGUAACCCAGUUCCUGUUGACACAACACCAUCUCCACCACAGAGCUCCCAAACAAGAGCAGUUAGUAAGGCAGCUCCAGUGCCCAAAGGGCCAGUACUAUCACGGCGAACCCCAACUCCACCAGUUAGUACGCCUAUUCCGGUGGAGGAAGCACAACCAGCUAGUCGUAGUUUAGCAUCUAUCGCAUUUGAUGUUGUUAAAUCGUAUGUGCGUAUCUUCCCAUCUUGGAAAUAUCAUACUGAAGAUGAAGGAAAAUGCCAGUUGCAGGUGUUUGUCCAGGAGUUAUGUGUAAGUAAUGUUAUUCAUGGCAAUUACUUUGCUUCGUCCCAUACAUCCUACCUCCAUGAUGGUUAUAAUACAGCAAAUUUUCCCAUUUUUCUCUAUAGAGAAGGACCGAUUUGGAAACUCGGGAUGAGGUAACCUGUGUUAAUACCUCUGCUAUCUUCAAGAAUGCUUGGUGGCAGUAUCGGAAUUACCUGAAGAAAACGUACUUCACCGGCAAAGAAACUCAUCAAAUUCCCUUACGUUCUCGUGAGACACAUUUACUGGACGAUGACUGGGAACGCCUUGUUCUGUACUGGUCCUGAACCAAGAAUGUGGUAAGGUCUAUGAGCUCAUUUUCUAUUUUUAAAUAUUAUAUUCUUGCGUCUUACUGUACUCUGUUCAUGUAGAACAAGUGCCUAAACCUGAAGAACAACUGUUCUAAUUUAAGAUUCCAUUGCUAUCAUAGUUCAAAAAAGCGCUAGGCGUUAAUUGUGCGUUUUGCCACCGCCUUGCGCUUUAAUGACCAAAGCGCAUGCUUAUGCGCAGUUAUGCACAGAUUAUGCGUAGUUAUGCGCAAUGCGUUUUGCCAAUGCCUAGAGCCUAGGCGCGCUUAAGCGCUCGCUUAGGCGCGCCUUUUUUUAACUAUGAUUGCUUUGCUCUUGUAUCACUGUAUUUACUCAUACAAACUUACUUUUAAAUUGAAGGAUCCAAUCGAAACUCCAAUGGCACAGCAGGUAUGUUCACGCAUGUUUCUUUAACAGGUUUGCUCUUAUCAAUAGCUCUGUUGAUUUCAAUUUCAAUUGUGUAUACAGUUGAAUUUCAUAUCAUGCACAUUACUAGCAUCACAACAGAGCCAAUAGUGUUGUUGUACAUGUAGACCCAUGGUACCCAUCUGAAAUCUUGUUGUGCCGUGUAGUUUCCCACGCAUUCUUUCACUGCUGCUUUGUCUUGAAUCGAUAUGAUUUGAACCGUGUCUCUAUUUUGAUUUGGCAAGACAAUGCAGUGACCAUAGGACAUAGAUAUAUGUUUGUUUGAUGCUUUUAUUAUGUACUAGUACUUGGCAAUAGAAGACUUGGUAGUUUAAUCCUUCCACCUUACUAAUGAACUGGUUCACCGAAAUGAGUUUCAUAUACUAGUACAUGCUAAACUUGUUAUGUGUCUGCUUGUUUCUUCUUUUAGAAUGCUGACAGAAUAUUGGGGAAGAGUGCCUUAUUAAGCAAUGGUAAAGGAAGUAAUGCAGAUAAGGUUCAGGAUAGUGACACAUCCUUGUUGGUCUCCAACAAAGCUGAUAAAACAACUAAGGAAGACUAUCUUGAAGACAGCGAGACAACCCCAAAGUCCUGUCUUGGUUUAGUGUUCGAGUUACUGGCCACUACCGCUUGCACAAGCUAUUCAAACUCACUGUCUGAAUCAGUUCGGUUUCUUGAGUCUCAACUACAAGCUGAAAGACAUCGAUCAGCUGUGCUGUGACAAGAAGCGGAAGGACUACGGAAGUCCCUGGAGCAUUCAGAUGCAUACUUUCUGGUGCAACAGCAAGCGUUGGAGGAUUUUAGCGCCAAACAGGACAAAGCUAAUCAGCUUGCUAAGCUUAUUGCCAGCAUGGUGGAUACCCAGGAUAACGUUUCUUGAGAUCUUCUAAAGUUGUUUCAGUUAUGCUCUUGUUUUGCUGCCGCGUUUAUUUGCACUGGUGGCCAAUUUUGACGGCCAGUGUAUGUAAUGUGCUACUUUGUUCCCUAUAUUUGCACUGGUGGCGAACUUUGAUGCCCAGUGGAUGUAAUAUGUGUAAUAGCGGUAAUAGGCUAGCGUUAAUUGCUUGCUUAUUUAUUUCCUUAUUGUCUUGUUUAGUUGUUUGCUUGUAGUCACUGCAGUUCUUUUUCUGUUUUUUCUAGUGGCCACAAUAGCCUAUUUUUGGUAACUAGGCCAAAAUAAUCAUGGCAACACACGGACUGUUGUAACCAUGGGCCUCCUGCAGGCUGUGAUCCAUGGGCCUUCGUCCGGCCGUAGGAUCCAUCGGCCUUCUAUACGGGCCUUAGGGUCCAUGGGCCUUCUACGGGCCGUAGGGUCCAUGGGCCUUCUACGGGCCGUACGAUCCAUGGGCCUUCUACGGGCCGUACUAUCCAUGGGCCUCAUACGGGCCGUAGGAUCCAUGGGCCUUCUACGGGGCGUAUCAUCAUUUCACCAAUCAUGGGUCGUACUAUUCAUGGACCAUAACGGGCCGUUAAUAGGCCGUAUUUGAUAACUCUAUGAAAAUAGCCCAACGGGUUUUUUGACAUGAAAACGGCCCAACGUAUUAACGGUUCGCAAACGGGCCGACUGUAACGACGGGCUGAAUUUGGCCCACAAGCAGAAAAUGACAGUAACGGGCCAUAUGUAACCGAAUGCUGCAAAUGAGGCCAAGAAUCAAUGGGCCAUGAGAAGGCCGAAAGAUAACUUGGGCUGGAAACGGCCCAAUGGAAUAACGGGCCGUUAAUGGGUAUAAAGUGAUACACUGUUCAUUACGGGCCAGUUUCACCACGGGCCGUUAAUGGGCCAAGAGUUACAAAGGUCCUCAUAUGGGCUGAAAGAAGUCAUGGGCCACACAUGGGCCGGAAGUUAAUACGGGCUGAAUCAUAUUGGACGGCCCAGAUGACGCUACUGGGCCUAAUUCGGAUAGGGCGUAACGGGCCCUGGGUUAGCGGGCUGUAAAUGGGCUAUAUGCGAACAGGCCGUUAACAGGCUUUCCGUGGGCCGGCCUGCCACCUUUUGACCAAGUCAAACGGGCCGACCUUUUCACAGGAAUGGGCCUCUGUUGGGCCAUGCCACGUGUCGCCGUAUCAUAGGCGCCUUCGGUCCAAUGAGCAGAUGACAUCUGUCCCAACGGUGAGCCAACACGUGUUUCCUCCAGCCAAUGAUGAUUUUACACGUGGAAAAUCCCCAUUGGUCGGGGCUGUUAACGGGUUAUCGGAUCCAAAACCCGACCCGAUAGCUUACCGACGUUCCGUUACGGUGGAUGCCACGUGUCGGUCACCCUUGACGAAAGCACUUCUGUGACGCGCGAUUUAUCGUCAUGGAAGUGGACACUUCCGUGAUGAUAAUUUUGGUAAUGUCAUGGAACACUUCUACGACAGCACAGGUAUGACUAUCUUGAUUCUGUCAUAAAUUUGUCAUGGAUGUACAUGCAUGACAAAAAGCGCGACCUACUGUGACAAACACGUAUCAUCACGGAAGUGUAUUUUUUUUGUAGUGCGAGUUCUUGGUAUUUGAUCCGAGUCUGGCCAUUGGCCUAUACACACUAACCAACUAGGCGGGAACAGUUAUGGGCACUCGACGUCGUGGUAUCAGCCGAAGCCUUCUUGACGUCAGCGACCGAGCGGCGCGCGCCGGGUUGGACCGCGUAACGCAACUUCCUUUGUAAUGGAGGUUGCUAGGUCUGCUCACCGGCCGCCCACGCAACAUGCAGGUGUGCAAUGUGCGACGGGCCCAGCCCCUGCGCCACAGGAUUUAGACCGGCGUGCUGACCUCUCUGUUGUGCCUAGGUGGGGCUGCGACGUGUUGAUCUUCCGAGGCCGGGCAUGACCCAGGAAAGUGUGUCCGGCCAAAGGGGAUCGAGCGUGUUGGGUUAUGUGGUGCACCCCUGCAGGGAAGUUUAUCUAUUCGAAUAGCCGUGUCCCUCGGUAAAAGGAUGACCCGGAGUUGUACCUUGACCUUAUGACAACUAGAGCCGGAUACUUAAUAAACACACCCUUCCAAGUGCCAGAUACAACCCGGUGAUCGCUCUCUCACAGGUCGACGAGGAGAGGAUUGUCAGGUAGGAUUAUGCUAUGCGAUGCUACUUGGUGAACUUACCAUCUACUCUCUUCUACAUGCUGCAAGAUGGAGGUUGCCAGAAGCGUAGUCUUCGAUAGGAUUAGCUAUCCCCCUCUUAUUCUGGCAUUCUGCAGUUCAGUCCACCGAUAUUGCCCCUUUACACAGAUACCCAUGCAUAUGUAGUGUAGAUCCUUGCUUGCGAGUACUUUGGAUGAGUACUCACGGUUGCCUUUCUCCCUCUUUUCCCCUUUCCAUUCUACCUGGUUGUCGCAACCAGACGCUGGAGCCCAAGAGCCAGACGCCACCGUCGACGACGACUCCUACUACACCGGAGGUGCCUACUACUACGUGCAGGCCGCUGACGACGACCAGGAGUAGUUUAGGAGGAUCCCAGGCAGGAGGCCUGCGCCUCUUUCGAUCUGUAUCCCAGUUUGUGCUAUCCUUCUUAAGGCACACUUGUUUACUAAUGUCUGUACAUAGAUAUUGUUGCUUCCGCUGACUCGUCUAUGAUCGAGCACUUGUAUUUGAGCCCUCGAGGCCCCUGGCUUGUAUUAUGAUGCUUGUAUGACUUAUUUUACUUUUAGAGUUGUGUUGUGAUAUCUUCCCGUGAGUCCCUGAUCUUGAUAGUACACAUUUGCGUGUAUGAUUAGUGUACGAUUGAAUCGGGGGCGUCACAAUAUGGCUCCAGAUAGUUGACUUGCGGACGGAAUGGGGCUGUUGGCUUGCCGUUCUUGGGACACUAUCUGGCGUAAUGUCCGGUUUGCCCACAACUGAAACAUGAAUUGUUGCGCUGACAAUCUUCACGUAUCGGGCUGGUCACGAUAUUCUUGACUUGAGUGGUGGUCUUGUUGACAUUUUGCUGCCAGUUGGGUUUGUACUCAACCUGAGUCUGUUGCCACGUACGAGCCUUCUGCACGGGUUGCAUAUCCUUCUUAGGCUCUAAUUUGCGCUUGUGGUAAUUAUUAGCUGGCCUGUUGUCGUGCAUGAGCUUGUGUUCCCGUUCUGCGAUGAGAGUCUUGUUCACCAAAGUUUGGAAGUCCGGAAAAUCAAACAUGCUGAGAGUGCACCUGAGAUGCUGAUUCAGUCCUCCAAGAAAUCUGUCGACCUUCCGUUCUUCGGUGGCCACAUCAUAGAGGGAAUAGCGGGCCAAAUGGUUGAAUUUAUUCAGGUACUCACUGACUGACAUGCUUCCCUGAGUGAGAGAGAGGAAUUCGCGUUGCUUGAUUUUCAUAAUUCCGGAGGGAAUAUGGUACUUGCGGAAAUGAUCCUUGAAUUUAGUCCAAGUAAUUUCCUCGUCCGCGGGCCACAUGGCCUUAGCAUUAUCCCACCAUACUGCGGCAGCUCCUUCAAGAUAAUGCGUUGCGGAAGGAACCUUGUCUCCUUCUUCAGUGCGAGCAAUUUCCAGUUUCUUCUCAAUAGUCCUUAACCAAUCAUCAGCGUCCAAUGGAUCAAUAACUUGACUGAAACUGGGAGGUUUGGUUCGCUGAAAAUCUGACAGCUUGGAGUAAUGACCAUUCUGAUGUCCAUUCUGCCCAACCAUAACUUGCACACUUUUCAGUAGUUCCAUUAGAUUGUUGUUCCUUCUUUCUUCAAACAUUCACAUGAUUUGCUCAGUAGAAGGCGGAUGUGGCGGUGGAGGCGGAGGUGGCUGAUACGGCUUGGGGGAAUGUCCUGCAUGUCUUGCGGAGCGACGAACAGGGACAUCCUCACAAGCUUGGCUGCUCUUGCCUCCCCGUGGCAUCCUAUUAUUUAUUUUCCCAAUGCAAAGCAACCGCGAUGAGAAAUAUCCAAAAAUGGGAGGAAGGCCAGUGACAAAACCAGAAGAAAACAGCGAAAGAAACCAAUGCAAAUAAAAGACAGUUCCAACAUAAUUAUACAUAGACUCAACAUGAAAGUUAAACAUCAUGACAAGGUCACUACCCUCAUACAUGAAACUAAGCAUCAUAACACGUGCGUCUACAUCCAUACAUCAUACUCAUGCCAAUGAAGAUACUCUAGCGAUCUACUGCUCGGAUGGUGCUGCUGCGGGCUCCUCUCCUGAGCCGGACCCAGAUCCUGAACUGAUAGUGGUGACUUCCGGGUUAAGAGAGACGUGACGACGCUGCCUCGAGGACUCUCCCUUAGGGGCAGGUGCGGGAUGGGAUCUAAGCAUAGGAGCUACAGCAGUAGCGACAAGGGAAGCCCACGUAGCAGGAGCACUGCGAGGGGUUACUGCCAAAGGGGUAGUGGUACUCUGAGUGGUGGCAGAGGCUGGAGGAACGUAUGGAGUGAAACCGACAAUAGGGAGAGGGUUCCUAUUUCGAGCAGCGGCGAGAGCUAUCCAGGCACGAGUUAGCUCCCGAGCUAGCUCGUAGUUCAGGAGAUAAGUGGCAGUGAUCUAAUGGGAAAGGUGGCUAGCAGGACGAUCCCACGCCGGAUUAAUCAAAGGAAAGCGGAUACGUCCAUUCUCGUGCAGAGAUGGGUAGUAAAAGAAACCUGGGUGGGUGUGCAUGCGAACCUCGUUGUAGCACAAGUCUACAAGAGCAUCGAUUGCAGCAAACUGGACCGCCUGAGACGGCGUAGAAGCGAGACCACCCUUAGUAGAAUGUGUUGGAAAUAUGCCCUAGAGGCAAUAAUAAAAUGGUUAUUAUUGUAUUUACUUGUUCAUGAUAAUUGUCUGUUGUUCAUGCUAUAAUUGUAUUAACUGGAAACCGUAAUACAUGUGUGAAUACAUAGACCACAACAUGUCCCUAGUAAGCCUCUAGUUGACUAGCUCGUUGAUCAAUAGAUGGUUAUGGUUUCCUGACCAUGGACAUUGGAUGUCAUUGAUAACGGGAUCACAUCAUUAGGAGAAUGAUGUGAUGGACAAGACCCAAUCCUAAGCAUAGCACAAGAUCGUGUAGUUCGUUUGCUAGAGCUUUUCUAAUGUUAAGUAUCAUUUCCUUAGACCAUGAGAUUGUGCAACUCCCGGAUACCAUAGGAGUGCUUUGGGUGUGCCAAACGUCACAACGUAACUGGGUGGCUAUAAAGGUGCACUAUGGGUAUCUCCGAAAGUGUCUGUUGGGUUGGCACGAAUGGAGACUGGGAUUUGUCACUCCGUAUGACGGAGAGGUAUCUCUGGGCCCACUCGGUAAUGCAUCAUCAUAAUGAGCUCAAUGUGACCAAGUGUUUGGUCACGGGAUCAUGCAUUACGGUACGACUAAAGUGACUUGCCGGUAACGAGAUUGAACAAGGUAUUGGGAUACCGACGAUGAAUCUCGGGCAAGUAAUGUACCGAUUGACAAAGGGAAUUGUAUACGGGAUUGAUUGAAUCCUUGACAUCGUGGUUCAUCUAAUGAGAUCAUCGUGGAACAUGUGGGAGCCAACAUGGGUAUCCAGAUCCCGCUGUUGGUUAUUGACCGGAGAGUCGUCUCGGUCAUGUCUGCAUGUCUCCCGAACCCGUAGGGUCUACACACUUAAGGUUCGGUGACGCUAGAGUUGUAGAGAUAUUAGUAUGCGGUUAACCGAAAGUUGUUCGGAGUCCCGGAUGAGAUCCCGGACGUCACGAGGAGUUCCGGAAUGGUCCGGAGGUAAAGAUUUAUAUAUGGGAAGUCCCAUUUUGGCCACCGGAAAAUGUUCGGGAUUUUUCGGUAUUGUACCGGGAAGGUUCUAGAAGGUUCCGAAGUGGGGCCCACCUGCAUGGGGGACCCACAUGAACGUGGGUAGUGGGGGCAAGGCCCCACACCCCUGGUCAAGGCGCACCAAGAUCCUACCUUAGAAGGAAUAAGAUCAUAUCCCGAAGGGAUAAGAUCAAGAUCCCUAAAGAAGGGGGAUAACAAUCGGUGGGGAAGGGAAAUGAUGGGAUUUCUUUCCCCCACCUUUGCCAACGCCCCAAUGGACUUGGAGGGCAAGAAACCAGCCCCCUCCACCCCUAUAUAUAGUGGGGAGGCACAUGGGAGCAGCACCCCAAGCCCUGGCGCCUCCCUUCCUCCCGUGACACCUCUUCCUCCCCGCUUGCGCUUGGCGAAGCCCUGCCGGGAUCCCGCUACUUCCACCACCAUGCCGUCGUGCUGCUGGAUCUCCAUCAACUUCUCCUCCCCCCUUGCUGGAUCUAGAAGGAGGAGACGUCCCUGCUCCGUACGUGUGUUGAACGCGGAGGUGCCGUCCCUUCAGCGCUAGGAUCAUCGGUGAUUUGGAUCACGACGAGUACGACUCCAUCAACCCCGUUCUCUUGAACGCUUCCGCUCACGAUCUACAAGGGUAUGUAGAUGCACUCCUCCCCUCUCGUUGCUAGCAUCUCCUAGAUUGAUCUUGGUGACACGUAGGAAAAUUUUGAAUUUCUGCUACGUUCCCCAAAGUGGUAUCAGAGCCAGGUCUAUGCGUAGAUUCUAUGCACGAGUAGAACACAAAGUAGUUGUGGGCGAUGAUUUGUUCAAUUUGCUUGCCAUUACUAGUCUUAUCUUGAUUCGGCGGCAUUGUGGGAUGAAGCGGCCCGGACCGACCUUACACGUACUCUUACGUGAGACAGGUUCCACCGACUGACAUGCACUUGAUGCAUAAGGUGGCUAGCGGGUGUCUGUCUCUCCCACUUUAGUCGGAUCGGAUUCGAUGAAGAGGGUCCUUAUGAAGGGUAAAUAGCAAUUGGCAUAUCACCGUUGUGGCUUUUGCGUAGGUAAGAAACGUUCUUGCUAGAAACCCAUAGCAGCCACGUAAAACAUGCAACAACAAUUAGAGGACGUCUAACUUGUUUUUGCAGGGUAUGCUAUGUGAUGUGAUAUGGCCAAAAGGAUGUGAUGAAUGAUAUAUGUGAUGUAUGAGAUUGAUCAUGUUCUUGUAAUAGGAAUCACGACUUGCAUGUCGAUGAGUAUGACAACCGGCAGGAGCCAUAGGAGUUGUCUUAAUUUAUUGUAUGACUUGCGUGUCAAUGAAAAACGCCAUGUAAUUACUUUACUUUAUUGCUAACCGUUAGCCAUAGUAGUAGAAGUAAUAGUUGGUGAGACAACUUCAUGAAGACACGAUGAUGGAGAUCAUGAUGAUGGAGAUGAUGGUGUCAUGCCGGUGACGAAGGUGAUCAUGCCGCGCCUCGAAGAUGGAGAUCAAAAGGAGCAAGAUGAUAUUGGCCAUAUCAUGUCACUUUAUGAUUUGCAUGUGAUGUUUGUCAUGUUUACAUCUUAUUUGCUUAGAACGACGGUAGCAUAAAUAAGAUGAUCCCUCACUAAAAUUUCAAGAGAUGUGUUCCCCCUAACUGUGCACCGUUGCGAAGGUUCGUUGUUUCGAAGCACCACGUGAUGAUCGGGUGUGAUAGAUUCUAACGUUCGCAUACAAUGGGUGUUGACGAGCCUAGCAUGUACAGACAUGGCCUCGGAACACAAGCAAAACACUUAGGUUGACUUGACGAGCCUAGCAUGUACAGACAUGGCCUCGGAACACAAGAGACCGAAAGGUCGAACAUGAGUCGUAUAGUAGAUACGAUCAACAUGGAGAUGUUCACCGAUGAUGACUAGUCCAUCCCACGUGAUGAUCGGACACGGCCUAGUCGAUUCGGAUCAUGUAUCACUUAGAUGACUAGAGGGAUGUCUAUCUAAGUGGGAGUUCAUUAAAUAAUCAGAUGAACUUAAUUAUCAUGAACAUAGUCAAAAGUUCUUUGCAAAUAAUGUCGUAGCUUACGCUUUAGUUCUACUAAGAUAUGUUCCUAGAGAAAAUUUAGUUGAAAGUUGAUAGUAGCAAUUAUGCGGACUGGGUCUGUAAACUGAGGAUUGACCUCAUUGCUGCACAGAAGGCUUAUGUCCUUAAUGCACCGCUUAGUGUGCUGAACCUCGAGCGUCGUCUGUAGAUGUUACGAAACAUCUGACAUACACAUUUUGAUGACUACGUGAUAGUUCAGUGUGUGAUGCUAACGGUUUAAAAUUGUGGCACCAAAGACGGUUUUGAAACGUCGCAGAACAUAUGAGAUGUUCCAAAGACUGAAAUUGGGAUUUCAGACUAAUGCCCACGUCAAGAGGUAUGAGACCUCUGACAAGUUUCUUAAGCCUGCAAACUAAGGGAGAGAAACUCAAUCAUUGAGCAUGUGCUCAGAUUGUCUGAGUACUACAAUCACUUGAAUCGAGUGGGAGUUAAUCUUCCAGAUGAGAUAGUGAUGGUUCUCCAUAGUCACUGCCACCAAGCUAUUAGAGCUUCGUGAUGAACUACAACAUAUCAGGGUAGACAUGAUGAUCCUUGAGCAACUCGCGAUGUUUGACACCGUGAAAGUAGAAAUCAAGAAGGAGCAUCAAUUGUUGAUGGUUGGUAAAACCACUAGUUUCUAGAAGGGCAAGGGCAAGAAGGGAUACUUCAUGAAAUGGCAAAUCAGUUGCUGCUCUAGUGAAGAAACCCAAGGUUGAACCCAAACCCAAGACUAAGUGCUUCUGAAAUGAGGGGAACGGUCACUGAAGCAGAACUACCCUAGAUACUUCGUAGAUGAGAAGGCUGGCAAGGUCGACAGAAGUAUAUUGGAUAUACAUUAUAUUAAUGUGUACUUUACUAGUACUCCUAGUAGCACCAGGGUAUUAGAUACCGGUUCGGUUGCUAAGUGUUAGUAACUCGAAAUAAAAGCUGCGGAAUAAACGGAGACUAGCUAAAGGUGAGAUGACGAUAUGUGUUGGAAGCGUUUCCAAGGUUGAUGUGAUCAAGCAUCGCAUGCUCCCUCUACCAUCGAGAUUGGGGUUAAACCUGAAUAAUUAUUAUUUGGUGUUUGCGUUGAGCAUAGACAUGAUUGGAUUAUGUUUAUCGCAAUACGGUUAUUCAUUAAAGGAGAAUAAUGGUUACUCUGUCUAUUUGAAUAAUACCUUCAAUGGUCUUGCACCUAAAAUGAAUGGUUUAUUGAAUCUCGAUCGUAGUGAUACACAUGUUCAUGCCAAAAGAUAUAAGAUAGUAAUGAUAGUACCACAUACUUGUGGCACUGCCACUUGAGUCAUAUUGGUAUAAAACGCACGAAGAAGCUCCAUGUUGAUGGAUCUUUGGACUCACUCGUUUUUGAAAAGAUUGAGACAUGCGAACCAUGUCUAUUAGUAUAUAUGCAUGAAGAAAGUCCAUACAGAUGGAUCAUUUGGACUCACUUGAUUUUGAAUCACUUGAGACAUGCAAAUCAUACCACAUGGGCGAGAUGACUGAAAGGCCUCGUUUUCAGUAAGAUGGAACAAGAGAGCAACUUGGAUGGAACAAGAGAGCAACUUGUUGGAAGUAAUACAUUUGAUGUGUGCAGUCCAAUGAGUGCCGACGCACGCAGUGGAUAUCGUUAUGUUCUUACUUCACAGAUGAUUUGUGUAGAUGCUGAGAAUAUUUACUUGAUGAAACACAAGUCUGAAUUAUUGAAAGGUUCAAGUAAUUUCAGAGUGAAGUUGAAGAUCGUCGUGACAAGAGGAUAAAAUGUAUGUGAUAUGAUCAUAGAGAUGAAUAUCUGAGUUACGAGUUUGGCACACAAUUAAGAAAUUGUGGAAAUUGUUUCACGACUAAUACCGCCUGGAACACCAUAUUGUGAUGGUGUGUCCGAACAUCAUAACUGCACCCUAUUGGAUAUGGUGCAUACCAUGAUGUCUCUUAUCGAAUUACAACUAUCGUUUAUGGGUUAGGCAUUAGAGACAACCGCAUUCACUUUAAAUAGGGCACCACGCAAUUCCGUUGAGACGACACCGUAUGAACUAUGGUUUAGAGAAACCUAAGCUGUCGUUUCUUAAAAGUUUGGGGCUGCGACGCUUAUGUGAAAAAGUUUCAGGCUGAUAAGCUCGAACCCAAAGCGGAUAAAUGCAUCUUCAUAGAAUAUCCAAAACAGUUGGGUAUACCUCCUAUUUCAGAUCUGGAAGCAAAAGUGAUUGUUUCUAGAAACGGGCCCUUUCUCGAGGAAAAGUUUCUCUCGAAAGAAUUGAGUGGGAGGAUGGUGGAGACUUGAUGAGGUCAUUGAACCGUCACUUCAACUAAUGUGUAGCAGGGCACAGGAAGUUGUUCCUGUGGCACCUACACCAAUUGAAGUGGAAGCUUAUGAUAGUGAUCAUGAAACUUCAGAUCAAGUCACUACCAAACCUCAUAGGACGACAAGGAUGCGUACUACUUCAGAGUGGUACGUAAUCCUGUCUUGGAAGUCAUGUUGCUAGACAACAAUGAACCUACGAGCUAUGGAGAAGCGACGGUGGGCCCGGAUUCCGACGAAUGGCUCGAGGCCGUAAAAUCCGAGAGGAUCCAUGUAUGAAAACAAAGUAUAGACUUUGAAAGAACUACUUGAUGGUCGUAAGGCUGUUGGGUACAGAUGGAUUUUAAAGGGAAGACAGACAAUGAUGGUAAGUGUCACCAUUAAGAAAGCUCGACUUGUCAUUAAGAUGUUUUCCGGCAAGUUCAAGGAGUUGACUGCGAUGAGACUUCUCACUCAUAGCGAUGCUAAGAGUCUGUUAGAAUUAUAUUAGCAGUUACUGCAUUAUUUAUGAAAUCUUGCAGAUAGGAUGUUAAAACAUUGUUUCCUCGACGAUUUUCUUGAGGAAAGGUUGUAUGUGAUACAACCAGAAGGUUUUGUCAAUCCUGAAAGAUGCUAACAAGUAUGCAAAGCUCCAGCAAUCCUUCUAAGGAUUGGAGUAAGCAUCUCGGAGUUGGAAUGAACGCUUUGAUGAGAUGAUCAAAGAUUUUGGGUUUAUAAUAAGUUCAUGAGAAACUUGUAUUUCCAAAGAAGUGAGUGGGAGCACUAUAGAAUUUUUGAUGAGUAUAUGUUGUUAACAUAUUGUUGAUCAGAAAUGAUGUAGAAUUUCUGGAAAGCAUCCAGGGUUAUUUGAAAAGUGUUUUUAAUGGAAAACCUGGAUUAAGCUACUUGAACAUUGAGCAUCAAGAUCUAUAAGGAUAGAUCAAAAAGGCUUAAUAGUACUUUCAAAUGAAUACAUACCGUGACAAGAUUUUGAAGGAGUUCAAAAUAGAUCAGCAAAGAAGGAGUUCUUGGCUGUUUUACAAGGUGUGGGUAUUGAGUAAGACUCAAUACCUGACCACGGCAGAAGAAAGAGAAAGGACGAAGGUCGUCCCCUAUGCUUUAGACGUAGGCUCUACAAUAUGCUAUACUGUGUACCGCACCUGAAGUGUGCCUUGCCAUGAGUUAGUCAAGGGGUACAAUAGUGAUCCAGGAAGGGAUCACAUGACAGCGGUCGAACUUAUCCUUAGUAUCUAGUGGACUGAGGAAUUUUCUCGAUUAUGGAGGUGGAAAGGGGGUUCGUCGUAAAGGGUUACGUCGAUGCAAACUUUGACACUAAUCCGGAUGACUCUGAGUAGUGAACCAGAUUCGUAUAGUAGAGCAGUUAUUUGGAAUAGCUCCAAGUAGCGCGUGGUAGUUGCAUCUACAAGAUGACAUAGAAAUUUGUAAAGCACACACGGAUCUGAAUGUUGCAGACCCGUUUACUAAAACCUCUCUCGUAAGCAUAACAUGAUCAAACCCUAGAACUCAUUGAGUGUUAAUCACAUGGUGAUGUGAACUAGAUUAUUGACUCUAGUAAACUCUUGGGUAUUAGUCACAUGGCGAUGUGAACUUUGAGUGUUAAUCACAUGGUGAUGUGAACUAGAUUAUUGACUCUAGUGCAAGUGGGAGACUGUUGGAAAUAUGCCCUAGAGGCAAUAAUAAAAUGGUUAUUAUUGUAUUUACUUGUUCAUGAUAAUUGUCUGUUGUUCAUGCUAUAAUUGUAUUAACUGGAAACCGUAAUACAUGUGUGAAUACAUAGACCACAACAUGUCCCUAGUAAGCCUCUAGUUGACUAGCUCGUUGAUCAAUAGAUGGUUAUGGUUUCCUGACCAUGGACAUUGGAUGUCAUUGAUAACGGGAUCACAUCAUUAGGAGAAUGAUGUGAUGGACAAGACCCAAUCCUAAGCAUAGCACAAGAUCGUGUAGUUCGUUUGCUAGAGCUUUUCUAAUGUCAAGUAUCAUUUCCUUAGACCAUGAUAUUGUGCAAAUCCCGGAUACCAUAGGAGUGCUUUGGGUGUGCCAAACGUCACAACGUAACUGGGUGGCUAUAAAGGUGCACUACGUGUAUCUCCGAAAGUGUCUGUUGGGUUGGCACGAAUGGAGACUGGGAUUUGUCACUCCGUAUGACGGAGAGGUAUCUCUGGGCCCACUCGGUAAUGCAUCAUCAUAAUGAGCUCAAUGUGACCAAGUGUUUGGUCACAGGAUCAUGCAUUACGGUACGAGUAAAGUGACUUGCCGGUAACGAGAUUGAACAAGGUAUUGGGAUACCGACGAUCGAAUCUCGGGCAAGUAACGUACCGAUUGACAAAGGGAAUUGUAUACGGGAUUGGUUGAAUCCUCGACAUCGUGGUUCAUCCAAUGAGAUCAUCGUGGAACAUGUGGGUGCCAACAUGGGUAUCCAGAUCCUGCUGUUGGUUAUUGACCGAAGAGUCGUCUCGGUCAUGUCUGCAUGUCUCCCGAACCCGUAGGGUCUACACACUUAAGGUUCGGUGACGCUAGAGUUGUAGAGAUAUUAGUAUGCGGUUAACCGAAAGUUGUUCGGAGUCCCGGAUGAGAUCCCGGACGUCACGAGGAGUUCCGGAAUGGUCCGGAGGUAAAGAUUUAUAUAUGGGAAGUCCCAUUUUGGCCACCGGAAAAUGUUCGGGAUUUUUCGGUAUUGUACCGGGAAGGUUCUAGAAGGUUCCAAAGUGGGGCCCACCUGCAUGGGGGGACCCACAUGAACGUGGGUAGUGGGGGAAAGGCCCCACACCCCUGUUCAAGGCGCACCAAGAUCCCACCUUAGAAGGAAUAAGAUCAUAUCCCGAAGGGAUAAGAUCAAGAUCCCUAAAGAAGGGGGAUAACAAUCGGUGGGGAAGGGAAAUGAUGGGAUUUCUUUCCCCCACCUUUGCCAACGCCCCAAUGGACUUGGAGGGCAAGAAACCAGCCCCCUCCACCCCUAUAUAUAGUGGGGAGGCGCAUGGGAGCAGCACCCCAAGCCCUGGCGCCUCCCUCCCUCCCGUGACACCUCUUCCUCCCCGUUUGCGCUUGGCAAAGCCCUGCCGGGAUCCCGCUACUUCCACCACCACGCCGUCGUGCUGCUGGAUCUCCAUCAACUUCUCCUCCCCCCUUGCUGGAUCAAGAAGGAGGAGACGUCCCCGCUACGUACGUGUGUUGAACGCGGAGGUGCCGUCCGUUCGGCGCUAGGAUCAUCGGUGAUUUGGAUCACGACGAGUACGACUCCAUCAACCCCGUUCUCUUGAACGCUUCCGCUCGCGAUCUACAAGGGUAUGUAGAUGCACUCCUCCCCUCUCGUUGCUAGCACCUCCUAGAUUGAUCUUGGUGACACGUAGGAAAAUUUUGAAUUUCUGCUACGUUCCCCAACAGAAUGAGUGUAAGUGCCGGAAGGGGAAUUGUGGUGUAGAGUGACCUCAGCAUAAUACUCGUACAAUGCUCCGGCCAGAUGCUCCCGAUACACCUGAUACUCUGGAUCAGCACCCUCUGGAUAGAGUCGUCGCCACACGUUCUGAAGCAGGUGCGGUGAUUGAUACGUCUCCAUCGUAUCUAUAAUUUUUGAUUGUUCCAUGCCAAUAUUCUAUAACUUUCAUAUACUUUUGGCAACUUUUUAUACUAUUUUUGGACUAACAUAUUGAUCCAGUGCCCAGUGCUAGUUCUUGUUUGUUGCAUGUUUUAUGUUUCGUAGAAAACCCAUAUCAAACGGAGUCCAAACGGGAUAAAAACUAACGGAGAUUUUUUUUGGAAUAUUUGUGAUUUUUGGGAAGAAGAAUCAACAAGAUACGAUGCCCGAGGGGGCCACGAGGCAGGGGGCGCGCCCUGGACCCUCGUGGCCACCCCGUAAGGCGGUUGGAGCCCUUCUUUUGCUGCAAGAAAGCUAAUUUCCGGAUAGAGACCGUGUCCAAAAUUCAGCCCAAUCGGAGUUACGGAUCUCCGGUUAUAAAAGAAAAGGUGAAAGGCCAGAUCUGAGAGCGCAGAAACAGAGAGAGACAGAAAGACAGAUCCAAUCACGGAGGAGCUCUCGCCCCUCCCAUGCCAUGGAGGCCAAGGACCAGAGGGGAAACCCUUCUCCCAUCUAGGGAGGAGGUCAAGGAAGAAGAAGAAGAAGGGGCCCCCUCUCCCCCUCUCUUUCGGUGGCGCCGGAACACCGCCGGGGGCCAUCAUCAUCACCGCAACACCUCCGCCAUCUUCACCAACAUCUCCAUCACCUUCCCCCCUCUAUCUAUAGCGGUCCACUCUCCCGCAACCCGCUGUACCCUCUACUUGAACAUGGUGCUUUAUGCUUCAUAUUAUUAUCCAAUGAUGUGUUGCCAUCCUAUGAUAUCUGAGUAGAUUUUCGUUGUCCUAUCGGUGGUUGAUGAAUUGCUAUGAUUGAUUUAAUUUGCUUUUGGUUAUGUUGCUGUCCUUUGGUGCCCAUCAUAUGAGCACGCGCGUCGAUCACACCAUAGGGUUAGUUGUAUGUUGAUAGGACUAUGUAUUGGAGGGCAAGAGUGACAGAAGCUUCAACCUAGCAUAGAAAUUGAUGCAUACGGGAUUGAAGGGGGGCCAAUAUAUCUUAAUGCUAUGGUUGGGUUUUGCCUUAAUGAACGUUAGUAGUUGCGGAUGCUUGCUAAUAGUUCCAAUCAUAAGUGCAUAGAAUUCCAAGUCAGGGAUGACAUGCUAGCAGUGGCCUCUCCCACAUAAAAUUUGCUAUCGGUCUAGUAAAGUAGUCAAUUGCUUAGGGACAAUUUCGCAACUCCUAUCACCACUUUUCCACACUCGCUAUAUUUACUUUAUUGUGUCUUUAUCUAAACAGCCCCUACUUUUUAUUUACAUGCUCUUUAUUAUCUUGCAAACCUAUCCAACAACACCUACAAAGUAUUUCUAGUUUCAUACUUGUUCUAGGUAAAGCGAAUGUUAAGCGUGCGUAGAGUUGUAUCGGUGGUCGAUAGAACUUGAGGGAAUAUUUUUUCUACCUUUAGCUCCUCGUUGGGUUCGACACUCUUACUUAUCGAAAGAGGCUACAAUUGAUCCCCUAUACUUGUGGGUUAUCAAGACCUUUUUCUGGCGCCGUUGCCGGGGAACAAUAGCGUGGGGUGAAUAUUCUCGUGUGUGCUUGUUUGCUUUAUCACUAAGUAAUUUUUAUUUGCUGUUCUUAGUUGUUCUUUAUCUUUAGUUAUGGAUAUGGAACACGAAAUACCAAAAAAUUAGGUGUACUUGCUACUCAUGGAGAUGGGGAACCUCCUAAAACCCUCGAUGCUCGUUAUGUGACAGAUAUUAUGUACUACUUUGAUAAUCCAGAGAAAACCCCAUUCAAUUAUGUAAUGGGCGACACGUUGGAUCAACGUGAAUACUUUAGGGAUUAUCGCUUGACUCAAAAAGGGAAACUAUUAUGGGACCAAAUUCAUAUGUUGAAGUGGUAUGCUAGGCAACUAUGCUUGAGAUAUGAUUAUACUUGUUGCUCUAGUAUGAAGUCUCCACACCUUCCCUUUUCAUGCAAAUUUAAUGAUAAUAAAACCUUAUCUUCUUAUGCUAAUGGUAUAUAUGAUUACUAUGAUGUGGAAUAAAUAGAAGAAUUUGUUGCUUUUAUGGGUGCUUAUGAAAUUGAAUCUAUGUUCAAAGAAUUUGAAAAUCUUUAUGAUGUUGUUUAUAGACCUGAAAACUUAGCUAUCCUUAAAUAUUGCUAUGCCAAUUAUGAAUUCAAUUCCGAUAUUGAUGCAUUUAUUGAGAAAGUCUCCGCUGUCCAAGAAGAGACUAAUAUUUUGCAGGAGUCUAUGGAAGAAGAAAUUGAUGAUACUGUGAGCUCAUUGGAUGAAAAAGAUGAUGAGGAGAGCAAAGAACAAAAGGAGGAAGAGCGGGUUAGCUACCCGUGCCCACCUUCUAAUGAGAGUAACUCUUCAACUCAUACAUUGUUUAAUUUCCCUUCGUGCUUACCGAAGGAUGAUUGCUAUGAUGAUUGUUAUGAUUCGGUUGAUUCUCUUGAAAUAUCCCUUUUUGAUGAUGCUUGCUAUGCUUGUGGCCAAGAUGCCAAUAUGAAUUAUGCUUUUGGAGAUGAACUUGCUAUAGUUCCUUAUGUUAAACAUGAAAUUGUUGCUAUUGCACCCACACAUGAUAGUCAUAUUAUCUUUUUGAAUUGUCCCGACUACACUAUAUCAGAGAAGUUUUCCCUUAUUAAGGAUUAUAUUGAUGGGUUGUGUUUUACUUACACACAUGAUGAUUUUGAUGAAUAUAAUAUGCAUGUGCUUGCUGCUCCUACUUGCAAUUAUUAUGAGAGAGGAACUACAUCUCUGCCUCUUUAUGUUUCCAACACGAAAAAAUUGCAAAAAACUGUUUAUACUAUGCAUUGGCCUUUACUAUGUGUGCAUGAAUUGUUCUUUUAUGACAUGCCGAUGCAUAGGAAGAGAUUUAGACUUCUUCAUUACAUGAUAUAUGUUACUUUGUGCUCACUACUAAAUGCCAAAUCAUUGCUAAUUAAAAUUGGCUUUGAUAUACCUUGGGAUCCGGGUGGAUUCACUACUUGAGCACCAUAUGCCUAGCUUAAUGGCUUUAAAGAAAGCGCUGCCAGGGAGACAACCCGGAAGUUUUAGAGAGUCAUUUAUUUCUAUUGAGUGCUUUCAUAUAGUUUAAAAACAAAAAGAUAAAGAGGGGAACCCAAAACUUUUUCAAAAAGAAAAGUGAAAGUGAGAGAGACAAGCAUUGUUCAAGUGGGAGCUAGCCUUGAACUUUGUUCAUGCUCACGGAAACUUUGUGAAUCUUGAUUACAGAAACUUUUCAACAAAAAUAAUUAUCCCCUUGUAUAAUUCCAUUGUAUUAUAAAAAUAAUGUGCCAAGGUUUGCCUUUAGGAUGUUUACAAUGCUUGUUGGUUUGUACGGUAAAGGACAGAAACUUUGGCUGUAGUGCGCGAUUUUUAAUUGUUUACUGCAACGUCAAAAGGUUCUGAAAUGUUUUGCACUGUCUUUCUAUACAAAUUGUUUAUUUUCUCUAAUUUUGGCAGAAUUUUUCAAGUAUCAGAAGUAUGGUGAAUGUUCAGAUUAUUACAGACUGUUCUGUUUUAGACAGAUUCUGUUUUUGAUGCAUAGUUUGCUUGUUUUGAUGAAACUAUCAAUUUCUAUCAGUAGAUUAAGCCAUGAAAAAUUUAUAUUACAGUAGAAACAGUGCAAAAAAAAUAUGAAUUGGUUUGCAACAGUACUUAGAUUAGUGAUUUACUUUAUUAUACUAACGGAUCCUACCGAGUUUUCUGUUGAAGUUUUGUGUGGAUGAAGUGUUCCAUGAUCGAGAAGGUCUCGAUAUGAGGAGAAGGAGGAGAGGCCAGAGCUCAAGCUUGGGGAUGCCCAAGGAACCCCAAGUAAAUAUUCAAGGAUAAUCAAGCGUCUAAGCUUGGGGAUGCCCCGGAAGGCAUCCCAUCUUUCUUCAACAAGUAUCGGUAUGUUUUCGGAUUCGUUUUGUUCAUGCGAUAUGUGCAAAUCUUGGAGCGUCUUUUGCAUUUAGUUUUCACUUUUCUUUUAUGCAACAUGCUGGUAUGAGAUAGUCCUUGGUUAAUUUAUAGAAUGCUCAUUGCACUUCACUUAUAUAUUUUGAGUAUGGCUUUAUAGAAUGCUUCAUGUGCUUCACUUAUAUCAUUUGAAGUUUGGAUUGCCUGUUUCUCUUCACAUAGAAUCGCCAUUUGUAGAAUGCUCUUUUGCUUCACUUAUACUUGUUAGAGCGUGGGCAUAUCUUUUGUAGAAAGAAUUAAACUCUCUUGCUUCACUUAUAUCUAUUUAGAGAGAUGACAGCAACUGGUCAUUCACAUGGUUAGUCAUAAAAUCCUACAUAAAACUUGUAGAUCACUGACUAUGAUAUGGUUGAUUCCUUGCAAUAGUUUUGUGAUAUAAAGAUGGUGAUAUUAGAGUCAUGCUAGUGUGUAGUUGUGGAUUGUAGAAAUACUUGUGUUGAGGAUUGUGAUUCCCGUAGCAUGCACGUAUGGUGAACCGUUAUGUAACGAAGUCGGAGCAUGAUUUAUUUAUUGAUUGUCUUCCUUAUGAGUGGCGGUCGGGGACGAGCGAUGGUAUUUUCCUACCAAUCUAUCCCCCCAGGGGCAUGCAUAGUAGUACUUUGCUUCCAGGGCUAAUAAACUUUUGCAAUAAUUAUAUGAGUUCUUUAUGACUAAUGUGAGUCCAUGGAUUAUACGCACUCUCACCCUUCCAUCUUGCUAGCCUCUUCGGUACCGUGCAUUGCCCUUUCUCACCUCGAGAGUUGGUGCAAACUUCGCUGGUGCAUCCAAACCCCGUGAUACGAUACGCUCUAUCACACAUAAGCCUCAUUAUAUCUUCCUCAAAACAGCCACCAUACCUACCUAUCAUGACAUUUCCAUAGCCAUUCCGAGAUAUAUUGCCAUGCAACUUCCAUCAUCAUCAUAUACAUGACUUGAGCAUUUAUUGUCAUAUUGCUUUGCAUGAUCAUAAGAUAUCUAGCAUGAUGUUUUCAUGGCUUGUCCGUUUUUUUGAUGUCAUUGCUACGCUAGAUCAUUGCACAUCCCGGUACACCACCGGAGGUGUUCAUAUAGAGUCAUAUCUUUGUUCUAGUAUCGAGUUGUAAUAUUGAGUUGUAAGUAAAUAAAAGUGUGAUGAUCAUCAUUAUUAGAGCAUUGCCCCAUCAAAAAAAAGAGAGGCCAAAGAAGCCUAAAUAAAAAAAGGGGCCAAAGAAGCCCGCAAAAAAAAGAAAAAAAGAAAAAAGGGCAAUGUUACUAUCCUUUUACCACACUUGUGCUUCAAAGUAGCACCAUGUUCUUCAUGAUAGAGAGUCUCUUGAGUUAUCACUUUCAUAUACUAGUGGGAAUUUUCAUUAUAGAACUAGGCUUGUAUAUUCCAACGAUGGGCUUUCUCAAAUGCCCUAGGUCUUCAUGAGCAAGCAAGUUGGAUGCACACCCACUUAGUUUGAGUUUGAGCUUUCAUAUACUUAUAGCUCUAGUGCAUCUGUUGCAUGUCAAUUCCUACUCCUCACAUUGACAUCAAUUGAUGGGCAUCUCCAUAGCCUGUUGAUUAGCCGCGUCGAUGUGAGACUUUCUCCUUUUUUGUCUUCUCCACAUAACCCCCAUCAUCAUAUUCUAUUCCACCCAUAGUGCUAUAUCCAUGGCUUGCGCUCAUGUAUUGCGUGAGGGUUGAAAAGGCUGAAGCGCGUUAAAAAGUAUGAACCUAUUGCUCGGCUUGUCAUCGGGGUUGUGCCUGAUGUGAAUAUUUUGUGUGGUGAAGAUGGAGCAUAGCCAGACUAUAUGAUUUUGUAGGGAUAACUUUCUUUGGCCAUGUUAUUUUGAAAAGACAUGAUUGGUUCAUUGGUAGGCUAGAAGUAUUAUUGUUUUUAAUGUCAAAUGAUAGACUAUUGCUUUGAAUCACUCGUGUCUUAAUAUUCAUGCCAUGAUUAGAUUAUGUGAUCAAGAUUAUGCUAGGUAGCAUUCGACAUCAAAAAUUAUCUUUCUUAUCAUUUACCUACUCGAGGACGAGCAGGAAUUAAGCUUGGGGAUGCUGAUACCUCUCUGUUGUAUCUAUAAUUUUUGAUUGUUCCAUGGCAAUAUUCUACAACUUUCAUAUAGUUUUGGCAACUUUUUAUACUAUUUUUUGGACUAACAUAUUGAUCCAGUGCCCAGUGUCAGUUCCUGUUUGUUGCAUGUUUCAUGUUUCGCAGAAAACCCAUAUCAAACGGAGUCCAAACGGGAUAAAAACUAACGGAGAUUUUUUUUGGAAUAUUUGUGAUUUUUGGGAAGAAGAAUCAACACGAUAUGAUGCCCAAGGGGGCCACGAGGCAGGGGGCGCGCCCCAGGGGGUCAGGCACGCCCUGGACCCUCCCGGCCACUGCGUAAGGAGGUUGGAGCCCUUCUUUCGCCGCAAGAAAGCUAAUUUUCGGAUAGAGACCGUGUCCAAAAUUCAGCCAAAUCGGAGUUACGGAUCUUCGGUUAUAAAAGAAACGGUGAAAGGUCAGAUCUGAGAGCGCAGAAAUAGAGAGAGACAGAAAGACAGAUCCAAUCUCGGAGGGGCUCUCGCCCCUCCCAUGCCAUGGAGGCCAAGGACCAGAGGGGAAACCCUUCUCCCAUCUAGGGAGGAGGUCAUGGAAGAAGAAGAAUAAGGGGGCCCCUCUCCCCCUCUCUUCCGGUGGCGCCGGAACGCCGCCAGGGCCAUCAUCAUCACCGCAACACCUCCGCCAUCUUCACCAACAUCUCCAUCACCUUCCCCCCUCUAUCUACAGCGGUCCACUCUCCUGCAACCCACUGUACCCUCUACUUGAACAUGGUGCUUUAUGCUUCAUAUUAUUAUCCAAUGAUGUGUUGCCAUCCUAUGAUGUCUGAGUAGAUUUUCGUUGUCCUAUCGGUGGUUGAUGAAUUGCUAUGAUUGAUUUAAUUUGCUUGUGGUUAUGUUGCUGUCCUUUGGUUAAUCAUAUGAGCGCGCGCGUGGAUCACACCAUAGGGUUAGUUGUAUGUUGAUAGGACUAUGUAUUGGAGGGCAAGAGUGACAGAAGCUUCAACCUAGCAUAGAAAUUGAUGCAUACGGGAUUGAAGGGGGACCAAUAUAUCUUAAUGCUAUGGUUGGGUUUUACCUUAAUGAACGUUAGUAGUUGCGGAUGCUUGCUAAUAGUUCCAAUCGUAAGUGCAUAGAAUUCCAAGUCAGGGAUGACAUGCUAGCAGUGGCCUCUCCCACAUAAAACUUGCUAUCGGUCUAGUAAAGUAGUCAAUUGCUUAGGGACAAUUUCGCAACUCCUAUCAACACUUUUCCACACUCGCUAUAUUUACUUUAUUGUGUCUUUAUCUAAACAGCCCCUACUUUUUAUUUACGUGCUCUUUAUUAUCUUGCAAUCCAAUCCAACAACACCUAUAAAGUAUUUCUAGUUUCAUACUUGUUCUAGGUAAAGCGAACGUUAUGCGUGCGUAGAGUUGUAUCGGUAGUCGAUAGACCUUGAGGGAAUAUUUGUUCUACCUUUAGCUCCUUGUUGGGUUCGACACUCUUACUUAUCGGAAGAGGCUACAAUUGACCCCCUAUACUUGUGGGUUAUCAGCGAUGUGUACGGAGCUGGCUCAGGAUGGUACAAGAUCGGAACUGGAGCCAUCUACACUCACAACCAUCAUACUGUUAGUAAUACCAACAGAUAACAUGCAUGCAAUGCAGCAACCAAUUUCUAUGACUACCGGCACUCAGACGAAACUAUUUACCGUUCCACUAACGCUCUAACGGUCUAGCGUGUCUUACAAUCAGCGCAGCUCUGAUACCAAGCGUUGUGGCAUCCCAGUUCAGAGCAACCGGUUUACCUUGCAUUGCCAGCCCAGAGAUCAAGUCUUUUGGCAACACACAACAACAUGGUACAUAAACAACCGCUUUAUUGAUGCUAGCGGAUUACACGGGUCUGAUAUUACAUCGAGAUAAGAGGCCAAGCGGCACACUCGGUGCGGCUCAACAGUAUGUACAUUAUUUAAUGAACAUAAAGGGGCCUCGAUUACACGAACUACGCGGCAGCGGAAGAACGACGAAGUGGAACUCCAUAGCACAGGGAGACCGAUGUCGACACCGCCUAGACGCGGGAAGCUCUCCGAUGCGAAAUGACUUGCCUGAAAACUGGCAUGACACGCCAGGUCAGUACAUUGAAUGCAACAAAAAUAAGCAUAAUGACAAACAAUAUCAUGACAAUUAAUCAGGUUAAUGCAAUGCAAGUAAUGCUACUAAUGCGGUGAAACCAACAUGUGCACCAUGUCCCACGGACUCGCUUACCAGACGGGUUACCUCGUAACCAAACGGUGAUCAUACCCGGAUCACAACUGAAACCAAUCACUCAUGAUUAGCUCAUGAUCUCCAGAAUCAUCAGUGCCAUCAACAAUUAUUUAGUGUGCAAGAUUAAUUAUAAAAGUUGAUCCAUGGUGUGACUUACUUCCGAGUUGUGCCCAUAACCGAGGACGCGGCUAUCGAUAGAUUUAAUAUACUCUGCAGAGGUAGCGCACUUUACCCACACCACGGAAUCCAUGGCCUCGCCCUCCCAUUCGGGUGGACCAACGGCAUUCCGACGAAACCCUCCCCUUGUCAUGACACUCUCCCGGCCACUCCGACAAACUCCCUCUCAGGGCUAUGUCCUGGGUGGCCCCGUGUCUACCAAAGACACCAACGGCCACCGUCGUGGCAAAACGGUCCCAAACUGGGACAAGGUACCAUAAAAACAAACGGGCACACAAGGUUAUGUCUGCUUACUGGGCCAAGGUAUGCACGCACAUAACCUUCCCUCAUUGGAGGCACCGGUGUGAGGCACAACAAAGGACCGAAUCAAGACCUCCCACGAGGUAAAUGUGGUCGCACUGAGAGAAACCCUAUUCAGUGGCACCAUGACUUGAUCAACGUCAUAUUGAAGUGGACUUAUUAACAGGUUUAACUUGAAUAAAAAUUUAAACUACCAAGUCAUAUGAUGCCAUGAUCAUGCAACUAAUCAACAUGCAAAGCAUACAACUCCCAUGUACGGAUCAAACUUAUCCACAUAACUUGCUUGCACUACUCAUGAUUAAACUUUACUGGUUCUCCCUCAACUUUUAUUAUCACGCAAUAUUUUUAUUAACUCAUAAUUUAUAUGUAGAUAUCACUUACCAAAAGAACUAUCAUUAUUUAUCAUAGCAAUAUAACUAAGGCAAAAUUUUAUUCUACUAGACCAAACUAGUCCAUGCAUUCAACCAGUAACUUAAACAAGCAUUUCAUGCAUGACAAAGUAACUAGCAAGCAACCAUAUAUUUUUAAAAAAAAUUUAAAUGCAUAUAAGAACUCAUAUUUAAGUAGAAACAAUCAUAGAUAUUGAAAUGACACCAUACAAAUGCUGGUAUGGCUUGCCUUAGUGCAGAGGAGGGUCACACUCCUCCUGGUGUCUUCAAGGCAAGUUCCUUCUUCUGAAAAUAUUUAAAAACCACAAAACAAAAUAUCAAAAAUCAUUCUGAAAAUCACUAGAAAUUCUAGACAACAAGGAAAAUUCCACAUUUUGGUGUGCUGCUAGUGCUUUCUGAAACAAACACAAUGCAAAAAGAAUCAACUCAUUUGGACUUAGGGCCUAGGAGUUAUCACUGGUCAAAGUUGUGGUCAAAUAUUUGAAUUAUUUUUGAAUAAAUCGAAAAACCUGGGGGGGGUGACGUCGGUGGCAUAAAGCCAGGAUACGCCUCCACUCGUACUGCUUCGGGAGCAAGUGGUGAGGCUGACACCGGGCCCCACCGGUCAGGAGAGAGAAGGGGGAGAGGGGAAACAGAGCGCGGCGGCGCUCUGUGGGUUUUGGAAAAAACCAGAGGGAUAGAAGUGGAGAGGGGGUCGUGGCGCACCAGCCCGUACCUGUGGCUUGCUGGGGGAUGGACGGAGUUGCUCGCAAUCAAGCUCGCAAGCGGCGGUGGUGGACGGGGCUUGCCGGAGAGGAAGAAGGCGACGGCGAGGGGCGACUCCAGGGGCUCAGCUGCGACCAGGCGACACCAGAGGAUCCCCAACGACGCGCCGGAGAGGUUGAUAGAGCUAGAAGGGCUCUGGAGUGGGGUGGUUGGGCUGCGGGGAUCGCCGGCGAUCUCUGGUCGAGGUCGACGGCCAGAGGCCUGCUCGACCGGGCUACGGCUCCUCUACACGGUUGUGGUGGUUAUGUGGUGCGGUGUGAGGCUUCAAAGCGGAGGGAAUGGCUCUAUAUAUAGCCGGAGCGAGAGGGGGGGUACGUGGCGUCGCUGGAGUUCUCUUGAGACCGACGAAGUGCGACGAAAGGCACCAGAGGGAGGGGGCAAGGGCUCAGUGUGUAGGUGGGAGCUGUCCACGCUCGCGGACGAGCACAGGAGGCAGGGGGAGAAGAAGACAAGGGCACGAGCGCACUGUGGCUUUUGGCCGCGACGUGCCCAUGCUCGCUGCGGUGUCUCCAGCGUCGCGAGCGCCAGAGAGGGGUCAAAGGUGAUGAGUCAAGGCUGGUGGCACGGCGCGGCAGUCGUCGGCGAGCUCUGGCUCGAGCACGCGCCGAACAGAGGCGUUGGCACUACUCAGAGCGCGUCGAGCACAUGCCAGACCCCAUGUCCACACGCGGUCACCACCCUGGCAUUGUCAAAACGACGCCCACGAUCGGCCAAACCUUGUCUGGGCUAAAGUCCAUGCAGUGAUGGGUCUAGGGAAGCUGAGGACUCAAUGCCGGGCCGACCAGAUGUGACUCAACCAUCUUGGCAAGUUUCUGGACAGAAACUUGGCUGCUAUGUUUGGAUAGCUUCUAGAUGGCCAUUAGGGCUGAUCUCCUGGGGUUAAGGGUUACUUAGGAGGGUGAAGAGACUCAAGAAAAAUCAGGGCCAAAGGAUCAAGGAAAAAUGCACUUGCUGUUCAAAGUGAAAUUUUGGGCCAGAAGAGAAAUUAUUUUCUGUAGCAAAAAUACUACAAAAAGUCAUGCAAUAUUUUUUCUUGGGAAGGUGGGCCAUGGUUCAAAGAAUAUUCAGGAAUUAUUUCAGAUUUUUAGGAGCAAUAAAAAUGGGGGUUGCUUUGGAGCACAAGUUUCUGAAAUGAGUUUCAGAGGAGAAAAUGAAUAUUUUCCUUUUAUGAAAAAUAUUCAUUUGAUUAUUUUGAGGAUUUUUCAGAGAACUAAGGUUGAAGGAGAAGUAGAUAGGUCACUUGGGUGAAAGUCAAGGGCAUGCCCAAGUGACAAGUCCAUUUGAAUUGAUUCCAAAAACUCAAAUCCAAGGCAAAGGCAAAACCAUGUCCGGAAAAAGAGAGAAGGCAAAAUCCAGGCUGUCACAAACCUCCCCCACUUAGGAUGAAUCUCGUCCUCGAGAUUCGGUUGCUUGGGAAAGCCAUCCUGGGUAGGAAGUCCUUAAAAAUUCCUCUCUUUCCCAGGUUGCCUCUUCCUUGGUAUGAUGUUCCCACUGAACCUUGUAAAACCUUAGCACUUUGCUGCGAGUGACUCUUUCUGUAUCAGCCAAUAUUCUGAUUGGUUUUUCCUCAUACGUCAAAUCCUUAGCCAGUUCUAUCUCUGCCAUAUCAGUCCUUUUCUCCGGUGGCGAGAUACAUCUCCUUAGCUGUGAGACAUGAAACACAUUGUGUACCUCUGACAGUUCGGGUGGCAAUUCCAAUUGAUAUGCAACUGUUCCGACUCUGGCCAUGACUGGAAACGGACCAAUAUAUCUGGGUGCCAAUUUUCCUCGGGUCUGAAACCUCUUAACUCCUUUCAUAGGGGUAACUUGGAGAUAGACGUGUUCUUCGGGUUCGAAGCUGAUCUGACGGUGUUUGGCGUCAUAAUAAUUCUUCUGUCGAGAUUUGGCCAACUGCAGUCUGUCUCGGAUUUCCUUGACUUGCUUCUCAGCUUCGAUCAUCAAAUCAGUCCCGAAAAUAUGGUUGUCCCCGGUUUGAGACCAAUUCAGCGGAGUGCGGCACUUACGGCCAUACAGAGCUUCAAAGGGUGACAUCUUUAAGCUGGUCUGGAAACUGUUGUUGUAGGAAAACUCGGCGUAUGGCAGACAGUCUUCCCACUUGGACCCUUGGGCCAAUGCACAUGCCCGGAGCAUAUCUUCGAGUAUUUGGUUUACUCGCUCAGUUUGUCCAUCUGUCUGGGGAUGAUAAGCCAUGCUGUAUUUCAGAGCAGUUCCCAAGGCUUGAUGUAGUCUGGACCAAAAUGCUGAGGUGAAGAGAGAUCCUCUAUCUGAAGUGAUAUUCUUUGGUACUCCAUGCAGACUGACGAUUCAGGACACAUACAAUUGUGCAAGUUGAUCGACAUGGUAGGUGGUCCGGAUGGGAAGAAAAUGUGCCACCUUCGUUAAGGUGUCCACUAUGACCCAUAUUGCGUCAUUUCCUCGGUGAGUCCUUGGUAAACCGGUGAUGAAAUCCAUGCAGACAUCAUCCCAUUUCCAUUGGGAUACAGGUAACGGUUUGAAGGAGUCCGACGGGUUUUUGGUGUUCCGCCUUUACCUUGUUGCAUAUAUCACAACAAGCCACAAAGUAAGCGAUCUCGUUCUUCAUUCCAUUCCACCAGAAUACCUGACGAAGGUCUUCGUACAUUUUAGUGCCACCUGGGUGAAUUGAGUACGGCGAUUCAUGUGCUUCUGUCAAUAUUUUCUUCCUCAGACCUUCUUGGCUGGGUACGCAAAUCCUUCCUCGGAAUCUUAGCGUACCUUGUUGAUCUCUAGAGAAAUCCUGUGUCUGUCCUUCUUGCAUACGCUUGGCAUAUAAUUGCAAUGAUUUGUCAUUUGCUUGAGCGCUGCGAAUUUCUUCUUCGAGGGUAGGAGUAACUUCCAAUAUACUGGCAAGACUGGCAUCCAUGAUUACCAAAUUAAGCCGGGCAAUUUCUCCAUAAAGCUCAGGAGGCAAAGAUUCCACUAGAGCAUUCAGGUUGGCCGGUUUGCGGCUGAGAGCGUCAGCAACCACAUUAGCUUUGCCCGGGUGAUAAUUUAUACCGAUGUCGUAAUCCUUAACCAAUUCGAGCCAUCUUCACUGAUGAAGGUUCAAAUCAGGCUGAGUGAAUAUAUACUUGAGACUCUUGUGGUCGGUAAAUAUCUGGCACCUCUUUCCAAUAAGAUAAUGUCUCCAAAUCUUCAAAGCGUGCACCACCGCAGCCAAUUCCAAAUCAUGAGUGGGAUAAUUUCCCUCGUGUGGCCGUAGUUGUCGGGAUGCAUGAGCCACAACCUUGCCAUCUUGCAUAAGUACGCAUCCAAGGCCUUUUCUGGAGGCGUCACAGUAGACAUCAAAACUGCUAUAGAUGUCGGGAAGAGUCAAUACUGGUGCUGACGUCAAUCUGGUUUUUAGCUCCUUGAAACUCCGUUCGCAGUUCUCAGUCCAUUCAAACUUCUUAUCCUUCUUUAGGAGCUUUGUCAUGGGUUUGGCAAUCUUGGAGAAUCCUUCAAUAAAACGGCGAUAAUAUCCGGCUAGUCCAAGGAAACUUUGGAUUUCUGAGACUGUCGUGGGUGCGGACCAAUCAAGCACAUCUUUUACCUUGCUUAGAUCCAAAGCUAUUCCUUCUGCCGAGAGAACCUGCCCUAAAAAUCCAACUUGCUUGAGCCAAAACUCAAAUUUGCUAAACUUGGCGUAAAGUUGAUGAUCGCGGAGUCUCUGCAAAACUGCUCGGAGGUGGUCCUUGUGUUCCUCUUUGCUUUUUGAGUAAAUGAGGAUGUCAUCGAUGAACACCACCACAAAUUUGUCCAAGAAGUCCAUAACACCUUUAUUCAUCAUAUGCAUGAACAAGGCUGGGGCGUUGGUGAGGCCGAAUGACAUAACGGUAUACUCAUAGAGACCAUACCGAGUGGUGAACGCGGUCUUGGGAAAAUCUUCCUUCUUGAUUUUGAGUUGAUGAUAUCCGGUCCUCAAAUCAAUUUUGGAGAAUACUUUGGCCCCACUGAGUUGAUCAAACAAAUCAUCAAUCCUUGGUAGCGGAUACUUAUUUUUGAUGGUGACAUCAUUCAGCUGUCGGUAGUCCACGCACAUCCGAAGACUGCCAUCCUUUUUAUCCACGAAUAUCGCGGGUGAUCCCCACGGUGAAGAGCUUGGGCGGAUGUAUCCUUUCUGCAGCAUUUCAUCCAGUUGUUUCUUUAAUUCCACCAAUUCUGAUGAAGGCAUCCGAUAAUAUUUCUUGUGUAUCGGUGUGGUUCUAGGCACCAAGUCAAUUGCAAACUCCAGUUCUUUGUCUGGCGGCAUUCCUGGUAAUUCCUCAGGAAAUACAUCUGGAUACUCACUGACCACUGCAAUCAAUUCCACUUCUUCAACCACGGCGGUGAAAACCAUAUCCUUCUUGGGUAUGCUUUUGCGGGCAUAAAAACAUGCGGUGCGACCCUCCUGAUUUGCCAUGGUAACUUCUCUGGUUGCAUAGUUGAUGCAUACUUGGUAUUGGGUCAACCAAUUCAUUCCGAGAAUAAUAUCCAAUUUGUCAGAAUCGAUGAUUAUUAGAGACGUUGGAAACUUGACCCCCUUGAUAUCAAUUUCCAGAUUACGGAAGACCAGAUUGCUUCUGAGCAAGGAUCCCGGGGAUUGUACCAGCAUAUGUUUUCCCAAAAUCGAGCAAGGAAAUUUGUUUUGGGCAGCACAACUCCACGAAAUAAAAGAGUGGGAAGCCCUAGAGUCAAAUAAAAUUAUGGCAGGUAUGUUAUUAAUAGGGAACAUACCAAUGAGUACUUCCGGGUCUUCUUGGGCUUCAUCGGUGGAGAUAUGAUGGAUUUGCCCUUGGAUGGCACUCGGGCCAGGAUAUGGCUCCAGAUAGUUGACUUGCGGACGGAAUGGGGCUGUUGGCUUGCCGUUCUUGGGGCACUAUCUGGCGUAAUGUCUGGUUUGCCCACAACUGAAACAGGAAUUGUUGCGCUGACAAUCUUCACGUACUGGGCUGGUCACGAUAUUCUUGACUUGAGUGGUGGUCUUGUUGACAUUUUGCUGCCAGUUGGGUUUGUAGUCAACCUGAGUCUGUUGCCAUGUACGAGCCUUCUGCACGGGUUGCAUAUCCUUCUUAGGCUCUAAUUUGCGCUUGUGGUAAUUAUUAGCUGGCCUGUUGUCGUGCAUGAGCUUGUGUUCCCGUUCUGCGAUGAGAGUCUUGUUCACCAGAGUUUGGAAGUCCGGAAAAUCAAACAUGCUGAGAGUGCACCUGAGAUGCUGAUUCAGUCCUCCAAGAAAUCUGUCGACCUUCCGUUCUUCGGUGGCCACAUCAUAGAGGGAAUAGCGGGCCAAAUGGUUGAAUUUAUUCAGGUACUCGCUGACUGACAUGCUUCCGUGAGUGAGAGAGAGGAAUUCGCGCUGCUUGAUUUUCAUAAUUCCGGAGGGAAUAUGGUACUUGCGGAAAUGAUCCUUGAAUUUAGUCUAAGUAAUUUCCUCGUCUGCGGGCCACAUGGCCUUAGCAUUAUCCCACCAUAUCGCGGCAGCUCCUUCAAGAUAAUGCGUUCCGGAAGGAACCUUGUCUCCUUCUUCAGUGCGAGCAACUUCCAGUUUCUUCUCAAUAGUCCUUAACCAAUCAUCAGCAUCCAAUGGAUCAAUAACUUGACUGAAACUGGGAGGUCUGGUUCGCUGAAAAUCUGACAACUUGGAGUAAUGACCAUUCUGAUGUCCAUUCUGCCCAACCAUAACUUGCACACUUUUCAGUAGUUCCAUCAGAUCGUUGUUCCUUCUUUCUUCAAACAUUCACAUGAUUUGCUCAGUAGAAGGCGGAUGUGGUGGUGGAGGCGGAGGUGGCUGAUAUGGCUCGGGAGAAUGUCCUGCAUGUCUUGCGGAGCGACGAACAGGGACAUCCUCACAAGCUUGGCUGCUGCUGCCUCCCCGCGGCAUCCUAUUAUUUAUUUUCCCAGUGCAAAGCAACCGCGAUGAUAAAUAUCCAAAAAUGGGAGGAAAGCCAGUGACAAAACCAGAAGAAAACAACGAAAGAAACCAAGGCGAAUAAAAGAGAGUUCCAACAUAAUUAUACAUAGACUCAACAUGAAAGUUAAACAUCAUGACAGGGUCACUACCCUCAUACAUGAAACUAAGCAUCAUAACACGUGCGUCUACAUCCAUACAUCAUACUCAUGCCGACGGAGAUACUCUAGCGAUCUACUGCUCUGAUGGUGCUGCUGCGGGCUCCUCUCCUGAGCCGGACCCAGAUCCUGAACUGAUAGUGGUGACCUCCGGGUUAAGAGAGACGCGACGACGCUGCCUCGAGGACUCUCCCUCAGGGGCAGGUGCGGGAUGAGAUCUAAGCAUAGGAGCUGCAAGAGUAGCGACAAGGGAAGCCCACGCAGCAAGAGCACUGCGAGGGGUUACUGCCAAAGGGGUAGUGGUACUCUGAGUGGUGGCAGAGGCUGGAGGAACGUAUGGAGUGAAACCGACAGUAGGGAGAGGGUUCCUAUUACGAGCAGCGGCGAGAGCUAUCCGGGCGCGGGUUAGCUCCCGAGCUAGCUCGUAGUUCAGGAGAUAACUGGCAGUGAUAUAACGGGAAGGUGGCUAGUAGGACGAUCUCACGCCGGAUUAAUCAAAGGAAAGCGGAUACGUCCAUUCUCGUGCAGAGAUGGGUAGUAAAAGAAACCUGGGUGGGUGUGCAUGCGAACCUUGUUGUAGCGCAAGUCUACAAGAGCUUCGAUUGCAGCAAACUGGACCGCCUGAGACGGCGUAGAAGCGAGACCACCCUUAGUAGAAUGAGUGUAAGUGCCGGAAGGGGAACUAUUGUGUAGAGUGACCUCAGCAUAAUACUCGUACAAUGCUCCGGCCAGAUUCUCCCGAUACACCUGAUACUCUGGAUCAGCACCCUCUGGAUAGAGUCGUCGCCACACAUUCUGAAGCAGGUGUGGCGAUGUGUACGAAGCUGGCUCAGGAUGGUACAAGAUUGGAACUGGAGCCAUCUACACUCACAACCAUCAUACGGUUAGUAAUAACAACAGAUAACAUGCAUGCAAUGCAACAACCAAUUUCUAUGACUACCGGCACUCAGAUGAAACUAUUUACCAUUCCACUAACGCACUAACGGUCUAGCGUGUCCUACAAUCAGCGCGGCUCUGAUACCAAGCGUUGUGGCACCCAGCUCAGAGCAACCGGUUUACCUUGCAUUGCCGGCCCAGAGAUUAAGUCUUUUGGCAACACACAACAACAUGGUACAGAAACAACCGCUUUAUUGAUGCUAGCGGAUUACACGGGUCUGAUAUUACAUCGAGAUAAGAGGCCAAGCGACACACACGGUGCGGCUGAACAGUAUGUACAUUAUUUAAUGAACAUAAAGGGGCCUCGAUUACACGAACUACGCGGCAGCGGAAGAACGACAAAGUGGAACUCCAUAGCACAGGGACACCGACGUGGACACGGCCUAGACGCGGGAAGCUCUCCGAUGCGAAACGACUUACCUGAAAACUGGCAUGACACGCCAGGUCAGUACAUUGAAUGUACUUGCAAGCUCACAACAAACAUAAGCAUAAUGACAAACAAUAUCAUGACAAUUAAUCAGGUUAAUGCAAUGCAAGUAAUGCUACUAAUGCGGUGAAAAUAACAUGUGCACCAAGUCCCACGGACUCGCUUACCAGACGGGUUACCUCGUAACCAAACGGUGAUCAUACCCGGAUCACAACUGAAACCAAUCACUCAUGAUCUCCAGAAUCAUCAGUGCCAUCAACAGUUAUUUAGUGUGCUAGAUUAAUUAUAAAAGUUGAUCCAUGGUGUGGCUUACUUCCGAGUUGUGCCCAUAACCGAGGACGCGGCUAUCGAUAGAUUUAAUACACUCUGCAGAGGUAGCGCACUUUACCCACACCACGGAAUCCACGGCCUCGCCCUCCCAUUCGGGUGGACCAACGGCACUCCGACGAAACCCUCCCCUUGUCAUGACACUCUCCCGACCACUCCGACAAACUCCCUCUCAGGGCUAUGUCCUGGGUGGCCCCGUGUCUACCAAAGACACCAACGGCCACCGUCGUGGCAAAACGGUCCCAAACGGGGACAAGGUACGAUAAAAGCAAACGGGCACACAAGGUUAUGUCUGCUUACCGGGCCAGGGUAUGCACGCCCAUAACCUUCCCUCGUUGGAGGCACCUGCGAGAGGCACAACAAAGGACCGAAUCAAGACCUCCCACAAGGUAAAUGUGGUCGUACUGAAAGAAACCCGAUUCAGUGGCACCAUGACUUGAUCAACGUCAUAUUGAAGUGGACUUAUUAACAGGUUUAACUUGAAUAAAAAUUUAAACUACCAAGUCAUACGAUGCCAUGAUCAUGCAACUAACCAACAUGCAAAGCAUACAACUCCCAUGUACGGAUCAAACUUAUCCACAUAACUUGCUUGCACUACUCAUGAUUAAACUUUACUGGUUCUCCCUCAACUUUUAUUAUCAUGCAAUAUUUUUAUUAACUCAUAAUUUAUAUGUAGAUAUCACUUACCAAAAGAACUAUCAUUAUUUAUCAUAGCAAUAUAACUAAGGCAGAAUUUUAUUCUACUAGACCAAACUACUCCAUGCAUUCACCCAGUAACUUAAACAAGCAUUUCAUGCAUGACAAAGUAACUAGCAAGCAACCAUAUAUUUUUAACAAAUUUUUAAAUGCAUAUAAGAACUCAUAUUUAAGUAGAAACAAUCAUAGAUAUUGAAAUGACACCAUCCAAAUUCUGGUGUCGCUUGCCUUAGUGCAGAGGAGGGUCACACUCCUCCUGGUUGUCUUCAAGGCAAGUUCCUUCUUCUGAAAAUAUUUAAAGACCACAAAACAAAAUAUCAAAAACCAUUCUGAAAAUCACCAGAAAUUCUAGACAUCAAGGAAAAUUUCACAUUUUGGUGUGCUGCUAGAGCUUUCUGAAACAAACAUAAUGCAAAAAGAAUCAACUCAUUUGGACUUAGGGGCUAGGAGUUAUCACUGGUCAAAGUUGUGGUCAAAUAUUUGAAUUAUUUUGAAUAAAUCAGAAAACCUAGGGGGUGACGUCGAUGGCGUAAAGCCAGGAUACGCCUCCCCUCGUACCACUUCGGGUGCGAGUGGUGAGGCUGACACCGGGCCCCACCGGUCAGGAGAGAGAGGGGGAGAGGGGAAACAGAGCGCGGUGGCGCUCCGCCGGAGCCUACGCCGGCGACGAGUGGGUUUUGGGCAAAACUAGAGGGAUAGAAGUGGAGAUGGGGUCAUGGCGCACCUACCCGUACCCGUGGCUUGCCGGGGGAUGGCCGGAGUUGCUCGCAAUCAAGCUCGCAAGCGGCGGUGGCGGACGGGGCUUGCCAGAGAGGAAGAAGGCGACGGCGAGGGGCAACUCCAGGGGCUCAGCUGUGUCCAGGCGACACCAGAGGAUCCCCAACGACGCGCCGGAGAGGUUGAUAGAGCUAGAGGGGCUCUGGAGUGGGGUGGUUGGGCUGUGGGGAUUGCCAGCGAUCUCUGGUCGAGGUCGACGACCAGAGGCCUGCCCGACCGGGCUACGGGUCCUCUACGCGGUUGUGGUGGUUGUGUGGUGCGGUGUGAGGCUUCGAAGCGGAGGGAAUGGCUCUAUUUAUAGCCGGAGUGAGAGGGGGGUACGUGGCACCGCCGGAGUUCUCUGGAGACCGGCGAACGGCGACGAAAGGCACCAGAGGGAGGGGGAAAGGGCUCAGUGUGUAGGCGGGAGCUGUCCACGCUCGCGGACGAGCACAGGAGGCAGGGGAGAAGAAGACAAGGGCACGAGCGCACUGUGGCUUUUGGCCGCGACGUGCCCGUGCUCGCUGCGGCGUCUCCGGCAUCGGCGAGCGCCAGAGAGGGGUCAAAGGUGAUGAGUCGAGGCUGGUGGCGCGACGCGGCAGUCGUCGGCGAGCUCUGGCUCGAGCACGCGCCGAACAGAGGCGUUGGCGCUACUCAAAGCGCGUCGAGCACAUGCCAGACCUCGUGUCCACACACGGUCACCACCCUGGCAUGUUCAAAACGACGCCCACGAUCGGCCAAACCUUGUCUGGGCUAAAGUCCAUGCAGUGAUGGGUCUAGGGAAGCUGAGGACUCAAUGCCAGGCCGACGAGAUGUGACUCAACCAUCUUGGCAAGUUUCUGGACAGAAACUUGGCUGCUAUGUUUGGAUAGCUUCUAGAUGGCCAUUAGGGCUGAUCUCCUGGGGUUAAGGGUUACUUAGGAGGGUGAAGAGGCUCAAGAAAAAUCAGGGCCAAAGGAUUAAGGAAAAAUGCACUUGUUGUUCAAAGUGAAAUUUUGGGCCAGAAGAGAAAUUAUUUUCUGUAGAAAAAAUACUACAAAAAGUCAUGCAAUAUUUUUGCUUGGGAAGGUGGGCCAUGGUUCAAAGAAAAUUUAGGAAUUAUUUCAGAUUUUUAGGAGCAAUAAAAAUGGGGGUUGCUUUGGAGCACAAGUUUCUGAAAUGAGUUUCAAAGGAGAAAAUGAAUAUUUUCCUUUUAUGAAAAAUAUCCAUUUGAUUGUUUUGAGGAUUUUUCAGAGAACUAAGGUUGAAGGAGAAGUAGAUAGGUCACUUGGGUGAAAGUCAAGGGUAUGCCCAAGUGACAUGUCCAUUUGAAUUGAUUCCAAAUACUCAAAUCCAAGGCAAAGGCAAAACCAUGUCCGGAAAAAGAGAGAAGGCAAAAUCCAUGUGCGUGGCGGCACGCCAUGCAUGCUAGGCUAUUUUUCGGGGCCAGAUUUGGCCUAUUGGGUUGUUCUUUAGGCCAUAUAUAAAAAAUCUAAAUAAAAAUAAAAUAAAUAUAGGGGGUCGUGUCACGCCGGCCCGUUGGACCCAGCCUCCAGGCCGAGGCACGACCCCUGGCAUGCCGCGUGCCUGGCACGACCUGUUUAGCCCGUGUCAUGUUGUGUCUUGGCCAUGCGGGACGUGCUACCAGGCUGGCCCAGCUAUCCCGACCCGUUUGGCUAGCUUUGCAUGAGACAGUAGCUAAAUUGCCUAUGGUACAAGCAGUUCCUGUUUAUUCUAUGUCAUGUUUUAAACUUCCCAGGGUUUAUGUGAACAGUUGAACAUGUUGAUCUAGAAAUUUUGGUGGAGAAGUAAGGAGGGCCAUAGAAAACCCAACUGGGUUUCUUGGGAUACUCUGACAUGGCCCAAGUACAUGGGAGGUUUGGACUUCAAGGAUUUUGAUUUGUUCAAUUUGGCUUUGCUAGCAAAAGAGGCGUGGAGUGUAGUACAAAUGCCAGAUUCUCUCAGCACAAGAAUUUUAAAGGCUGCCUAUUUUCCUUGUUCAAUUCUUGAUGCAAACCUCGGUAACCAUCCUAGUCAGAUCUGGAGAGGGGCAUGAUGUUCUAAAAUAGGGAUUGAUUAGGAGAAUUGGCAACGGAGCAUCAACUAAUAUAUGGAGUGCCAAAUGGACGUACAUGGGAGGUUUGGACUUCAAGGAUUUUGAUUUGUUUAAUUUGGCUUUGCUAGCGAAAGAGGCGUGGAGUGUAGUACAAAUGCCAGAUUCUCUCAGCACAAGAAUUUUAAAGGCUGCCUAUUUUCCUUCUUGUUCAAUUCUUGAUGCAAAGCUCGGUAACCAUCCCAGUCAGAUCUGGAGAGGGGCAUGAUGUUCUAAAACAGGGAUUGAUUAGGAGAAUUGGCAACGGAGCAUCAACUAAUAUAUGGAGAGACAAAUGGACUCUGAGUGACGUGUUGAGUACCUUUGGAUGUAUGUCAGGCAAUCCUCCUAUAUAUGUGUCUGAACUCAUUGAUCAAACUUCAGCUAGAUGGGACAAGGAGAAAGUUGCCGAGGUUUGCCUACUGAUCGACGUGCCAGCCAUUCUCAGCAUACCUUUAUGUACAACAAAUAUUGAUCAUAGUUGGUCGUGGAAUUUUGAAAAAAAAGAAAAAAAUAUGUUCGAUCAGUCUAUAAGAUGAUGGUUGCAACCAAAAUGAGAAGAGAAGCAUGGCUAGAUGGUUCCACGGGUUCAUCAAGCAUUGAUAGGGAUGCAACAUCAUGGAAAUUGUUAUGGAAAACACCGGUAUCAUGAAAGAUACCCAUGUUUCUUUGCAGGCUAGCAAAGAACUCGUUACUCACUGAGAAUGUGAGAGCACACAUUAACAUGUCCACAACAAGCUGUUGCGCUUUGUGUGGAGCUGCAGAUUCUUGGAGAUAGUCGCUGCUAGAAUGCAUAAUGGUGAGAUGUGUAUGGGCUCUUGAUGAGGGUGAGCUAGCGGAGCACAUGUGCAAAACAACGGAACUGAAUGCAAAGCAAUUGCUGUUUUCGAUGAUCGACACUCUUUCACAUGAGGCUUUUGUCAAGCUAUUUGUGUCCCUAUGGUGAUAUGGUGGGCAAGGAGACAGGUGAUGCACGAGGAAAUAUAUCAACCCCCUUCGGCUACACAUUAUUUUAUAAACAGGUUCAUUGCUGGACUUGAGAUGGUACCACAAAAACAUACAAUGACUCAGACCAGGCCUAUGAUCACAUGACCCAAGGCACCACCGCAGGGUUUUGCAAAAAAUACAUGUCGACGCUAGCGUGGCAACAUCUAGCUUCGGUGGCUCGGCAGUUGCAGUGUGCAGGGACGCUGGAGGUCUCUAUCUCGGAAGUUCUGCCCUGGUAGUGGAGGGAAUGACUAAUGUUGCAGCAUUAGAAGGAGUACUCCAUUAGAAGCAAUCGCAUGUCGUGAGGCGUUAUCUCUAGCCGAAGAUUAGUUUUUUCCAGAAAUUUGUUGUUGCAUGGGAUUCAAAACAGGUGAUUAAUGAUAUCGAGAAAGGAACUGGUAAGUGGUAACAGUUAUGGAAACAUCAUCAAGGAGGUCAAGCAGCGAGCAACCAGUUUAAUUGUAUUUUCAGCUUUGAAGGCCGAGCGGCGAAUGUAGAUGUAGAUAGACUAGCUAAGUUUUCAAACUUUCUCGAGCAUGGGCCACUUGUGGUUGGGUCACCCCAUGAUGAAUUUUUUUUUUUGAACUGCAGGAUGAAUUUUGUAUUCCACUCCUUGUGGAUUUUGAUCAGUAAAACUAAGCUUUUACCCCUGAAAAAAGCUAAAUUGCCUAAAAAACGAGACAGUAGCUAAAUCUCAAAAAAAAAAGGAGACAGUUUGAAAGAAGAAAUCCUAAUCCCUUCACGUACGGUAGCGGCACGCGCGUUCCUAUGAAAUGCAUAACUUGGCUGUACUACCGCCUCCAUGACUAAAUCGGCCGUAGCGGGACGGAUCGAUGGCGACGAGCGCCGUACGCGCAGACAGCGUGCCGACGACGAUGGACCGGAUUGGCCGCGCCCCGUUGUCACGGGAAUAUUUCCCCUCGCCCUCACCAGUCCCAUCACUCAUCGCCAUCGGCAUGCAUGCAGAUGCAGCGAUCUCGCUGUCCCGUACUCCGGUCUCCCGCCCUCCCCUUUUUCUUUCUUCCCGGCGAGCGCAGCGCAGCCAAUGGAUCAGGAAAAGAGAGGCGGGCGGGAUGGGAUGGGAUGGAGUACACGCCAUGACGAGGCCAUCUCCACCGCGCGAUCCCAAAUGGACGUCUGUUUUGACCGGAUUUUGUCCCUUUAGGGCGCCGAUGGGUUCGCCCGUAUCCGCCUCUGUCCGUUGGAUCGUGUGUGCGUCCACCGCGCGGCCCCAUCCCAAAUCAUGUCCGCGUUGGACAUGAUUUAAAAAUAUAGCAAAACGUAAUAAAAAUGACUUAAAAAGUAAAUAAGCGCAGUUUAAUAAACUUAAAACUUAGUUAGGGGGUCACGGCCACAAAACGUCCCAGUUUCACGUCGAACUUGACAUAAUUAAUAAUAAACAUAAAAAAGAAAAUAAAAAAGGCCGCCGCCAGCGCGCUCCUGCCCGUGCCCGUGGAUGCCGUCGCCGUCGCCAUCUUCAGUGGCCGGCAUCGUCGUCGUCGCUGACGAGGUCCACGUAGGCCGACGGCGUCCAGAGGUGGGCUGGCGGUGCGUGGUAGACGGGGGCGGGCUGGACGGCGGGAGGUGCCUGCACGACCUCCUCCCGUGGCGACGCCUCCCGCUCCGCUGACCGCGGCGGCGUGGGCCGCCAGUUCACGCACCCCAGGGCAUCGGCCAUCUCUUCUGCAGUGCACGACCAGCCCCACCCCUGGCCCACCAGGCCCGGGUGGAACGCGGCCACCGGCUCCUCCUCCAUCGCCUCCUCCCUCCUCUCCUCCUCCUUGACGGCCACCAUUUGCAGCUCGGGGAAGGUGACCUCGCCGGCGGCAGAGAGUGCCAUCGCCUCCUCCAAGCCGUCCCAUUGGCGCUCGUCGUGGGUGUACAUGGAGUCAUCCAUGACAUGUUGCACGAGCCGGGCCUCCUCCUCCGCUGUCAUGCGAGGAGGUGGAGGGGGUGACGGAGACGGGGAAGGCGACGGCGUGGGCGUGAGGCCGCGCACCUCCCGACGUGGCCGCCGUGGCCCCGACACCAUGCCGGCGAAGUAGGACGCGCGGCGCGUGUCGUGCUCGUCCUGGAGCCAUGUGUCCCAGAGCACCGAGUCGGGGGCGUACCUGUCGUCGUAGAACAGGUCAUCGGGGAGGAGGCGGCGGCGGCACUCGAUCUCAUCGCGGCGCGCACGGCCGCUCGCCGGCACCGGCGGGAUCGACACACGGUCGGCGCCGAGGUGCCAUCCAUUGGGGAGGUGGACGUCGCUUCACGGGACCGGCGUCCUCGUAUCCCAGUACCGCCGGCACACGUCCGCCGCGAGGUAGUGCCGGUCGUGCGCGCCGGCGGGCCUAGGGUUGAUGGUGAAGGGGGCCGGCGCGGGGGCUCGACGGGAGGAGCGCGGCGGUGACGCGGGCUCCUCCUUCUUCACGGAGCCGUGGCGGCGCCCCGAGGAGGAGCCGGCCUCACGGUCGUGCUCCCCCUUGCGGUUCCAGAAGCCCAUGGCUUCGAGGUGGCCGGCCGGCGAGCUCGAGGACAAUGGAGGGCUAGGGUUCGGCGCUGUCGGGUUUCGAGGAGGCCGCGGGGUGGCGUGGGGCAGUGUGGACGACGACCGGUCCACGGUUCCCACUUAAAGAAGGACGGCGACCCUUCGAUGUGCGGAUGACAGGUGGGGCCGCCCGCUCGUGCGCACUGAUGUGGGCGGGUGGGAGGUAGGUGACCGCCUGCCACGCGGACCCGACGCGGACGAGGCGCGCGUCCGUUUGGUGUCCGCCGCGACCCAAACCCGGCGCAAGUUUGCGCCCGAAAUGGGUCGGCCCGGACACAAAACGGACAAGAUGGGUCCGGGCCGUCGCGCACUGGGCCGCCUUGUUUGUCCUUUUUAUUCCAAACGGACGGGGCCGGACAGGAUAGGGUCACGCGGUGGAGUUGGCCUGACUGCCGGGUCAAACGUUCGUCAGUUAGGUGGACCACCAACCAAACCCCACGCGCACGCGGCGCCACUCCCCGGAGUCUCCCCGCUGCACUCGCUCGCUUGGAUGGAUCACCUUGCGCCGCGGCCACAAGGGAGCCGGACAAGAAGUUGAUGCACCACUAGGACUAGCUAGUGUCGGCUUGCAAGCACAAGAGCUUCUCCCGCUCCUGCCUUCUAGGCUUUUUGUUGCUCCGCUGAAAGGUGAGGUCACUUGUCAUCUACAGCCCGGGCUACCGAUAGAUCGGGGAACGAGUGCGCGUGGAAGGCAGGAAGUCAAUGUGGCGCCAGGCCAAAGCCCUCAACUUUUUCAGCAAAGGUAGAGCUAACUACUACAAUGAAUCCACCCGACGCAUAUUACACCGGCCAGAGGAUCGUCAAAAUAAUGCUCGUGAAAACAAAAUGAGAUUAGAUGCAGAAGUCGCACAUGCAUGAUGCACACAAAGAAAUUUCAACUCUCGUGGAGAAACACACGCGUUCGGAACAGAUUUCUACAACCUACACCAAGUGUAAAGUGUAAACGCUAGCGCAAGCUAGCUAUAGCUGUACAUGGAUCGAAGUCUAGGCUAUGCGAUGCCCUAGGACGGACGCCCGUUUCUACCAUUGGCAACGGGCGAGCAGAGCAGCAUCUCUGGAUACGUGAUCCUACAUACAAAGUCAAAGCCGGGCGGCAGCUCAAGGAGAAGAACAUGUGAAGAGACAGCAGCAGUAUCUCGAUCGUACCCAUUAAACAAACCCUAAGCCUUAACUAGUAAUCAAUGGCGAUCCACGUUUCGUGCUGCGUAUGCUACGUACGGCGGCUUUCUAUAUUUCUCGUCAUACGCACACUUGGUCGGAGCGAGGCUGUGAAUCCCGACGACGGCAAAUUCCUGGGUGCUCGCGUCGCGUGCUUGCCCCGCCCCGCCCGUGUAUUUGUCCUGUCCACCACCUGCACAUCGCUACAAUUCUGGGCUAGCAGGAGUAGUAUUUUUUGGAUAUUUUCGAUCGGGAAUCAAAUUAGGAGGCCUUACACGCAAGAGGAAGCAAGAUCAAUUUGGGUAAGUUAAGUGGCUUGACCGGUCAAAAAGAUCAUACCACAUGCAUGCCUUGCCUGCUACAGGGGAGAGGCGCGAAAAGGAAGCCAUGAAACAGUGGUGAGUCGUGGUGGAUGCCAAAAGGGUUAUGGACAAGGCCACAAGGGAUGUGAUCGAUGCAGCAAAAACGUACGCCAGGGGAGACAAAUACUUAUAUUCCGAGCAGUGGUUGUUAGGGAACAAGCAAGUACAAAUAGUAGUGUAUGUACAAGAAAAGCUAGCUGUAUAACACCAUCAUACUGAUACAGAAAACAGCAUAAUGAAAAGAGACAAAAAAUAAAGUUUAAUAUAAAACUCUUAAGAGGUGACAAAAAAUGAGAACAAGUUUAUGUCAGCUACAAAUAAUGAAUGAUUCUGGCUCCUACUGAAGGAAAAACUAUUCUCAAGUCCUCAACAGCUAGUGCUUCCUGCUCAAUCAUACAAGUUGAGUGACUUGAGUCCCCAGCAGAGAACAAAGCGCAAGCGCAGCUAGCUGCAGGGGCUGGUGGUCCAUUGGUGAGCAGUGAAGAGCCUCAAGCCUACACGCUAAAGAAGGAAAAGGCACCUAAAAGACAAAAGCUACUGCGUGCAUAAUGGUUGCUCAAUGAUUCCUGCAAGGACGAACAUCUCCAGUUUGCACUGUAAAGCAAAUCUAUUCAUGAUCGACUGCCCUGCAGAUCCUCUAUGAUUACUGACAACUAAUUGAGAUCAAAUGAGAUGGACAAACCAGUAGUAUAGAUUAUGUAUCUAUCUGCAUUGCAUUCCAAUAUUAUAUGACAAGAGAAGAGAGACACGAUUCACGUUCUCUUAGAUAACAUAGCUCAUCUUUUCAGGAAGACUAAAUCGCAAAUGCAAAUGCAAGGGUUAGAGUUGAAAGCACUGGCUGUAACAUACAAACACUGCACGUAGCUAGUUAAUCUUCAUGCAUGCUAAAGGAUGAAUUUAAUUACACAUAGUUAUAUAGAAUCUGAAUGGCCAUAUCGAUCUCUCGAUGAUAUAUAACAUCGAUGGAUCGGAUGGCCUUAAAAUUCGCAACGAAACGAGAUACAAAUAGUCUGAAGGUCGAACGAAGCGACCUAGAGCAGCGAGAACAAGGACAGCAAUUAGCAAGGAGAGGAAAGCGGAAACAAGUCGGAACUGAGGGAAAAAAAUUGCCUGGCUUUCCCGCAUGCCAAUACAGAACUCUCCACCAUUUUUCUGAGCUAAGCUUGCAUGGAUGCCUCCAUGCCUUUGCCCUGCGGAAGAACCGAGACGACGACGGAGACGAAGACGAAGACGGGGACGAAGAGGUCACCGGAGCGGCGUCCGCGGCAUGCGGAACGACCAGCCAUGGUGGAGAGGGGAUGGCGGGGGCUUGAAGGGGAUGGUGGCAUUGACAUCCUCUUCGUCCUUCUUCAUGUCCCGCGAUGAGCUGAGCUGCUAGCUAGUAGCACAAACAAAACACAAGCGUAAGAGAGAGGGAAGAGGGGCAGGUUCCUUUGGGCUACUAUAUGCAAAACGCAGAGGAUUAGAAUAGCAGAGGUUUUUAAAC
This 64662-nucleotide long non-coding RNA is filed under the name Triticum aestivum (bread wheat). RNAcentral describes it as "long non-coding RNA (TAES_LNC017805)". The record is from RNAcentral. Lineage: Eukaryota; Viridiplantae; Streptophyta; Magnoliopsida; Poales; Poaceae.